CAUACCUUUCUCGGCCUUUUGGCUAAGAUCAAGUGUAGUAUCUGUUCUUAUCAGUUUAAUAUCUGAUAUGUGGGCCAAUGGUCCACACGAUAUUAAAUUAAUUUUUUAAAGGGGAAGGGCCAUUAUGGUAGCUUGCUACUGGGUCCUUCAAGUGUCGCCCUUGUGUUGCACUAUUGCAUGGGCUGGCACACCCUCUAAUCUAGUUUCAUAUAUUUUUUUUAAUUUAUGAAUUUAUUUUGUCUUAUGUUAUAUAUACAUUUUCUAAUAUAAAUGAUUGAAAUUUUGUUAAGAUUAAAUGGUAUUAUAUUACAACAAUUGAUAUUAAAGAUAGACCAAAAUUAUCUAAUAAUAUAAAUCUUAUUCAAAGCAUAACUACAAUAAAAUUACUAAUUUCUAAAUUAUUCUAAUGAUAAAUAAAAUAAUUAAUACAUCUAGGUAAAAUAAUUUGAAUAUGCUUACGAAGUCAAAUAAUUAUCAAAAUCAAAGUAUUUCAAUCCAACUCAUCUAAUAUUGGUUCACAAGUGAUAAUUAAGCUUUCAAAUUUACAUUAGUAUUUGUUAAUAUUUAAUUAAAUGUAUUAUAUUUAGUUAUAUAUAAUAUAUUUAGACAUAUGCAUAUAUUAUCCCAUUUAAAAUCCUUUCAUACAUAUAUAUACAAGGUAAUACCUUGUAAUUUAGACGAUAGAAGAUAAAGAGAAGAAAUUAAACAAAUUAAAGCAAAUGGAUGUGUGAUUUGACUUGAAGUACUCUUCUCUUUAUUUACUUCUUUAGGCAAAAAGACUUUUUAAAGUUAGGACUCUUUAUUUACUUCUUUAGGCAAAAAGACUUUUUAAAGUUGGGAGAUUGUCACACUUUUUACUUUUUAAUCUCAAUAUUCAGAGAACUUUUUAUCUCCGAGUGAAGUUAAUACUCAUAUUUACCACUUACUAAAUACCAAACUUCACUUCACUAAUUUUUUAGGAGUUAAAUCUUACAUAUAUUUCAAGUUUCCUAUUCUUUACAUAUUUAAAUAAAUCUUAAUGUACAACAACACAUCAUUUACAAAAAUCAAUACUAAAGAAAUCUUUAAUCCAACAUAAAUUGUGAGAUAACAUUAUCUAAUGAUAAAUGAAGUGAUAGCACAAGUUAUAUAGCUGACUUGACCCAGUUAUACAACAUUGACCAUCAUAUUCAAUGUAAUAAGUUAAUAACUAUUUGUUCAACUCUCAUUCAAAAGUGAUGGUGUCACCAGAACAAACAACAGACCUAUAAAAAUACAUAUAUAAAUAUAUGUUGUACAGUGUAUAAGGCAUUACUAUUCCAAAGCUAUAUCAAUAGUUUUUCUGCAAGCAAAUUCUUAUAUAAUGGAAGAAGAUCAAUAUUUCAUUUUUCUAAUAUCCUAUUCAAUCAAUGUAUGAAAGUUGGUGAUGGCAAGACAGAUGCAGCACGUUAGAGUAAUAUUCCAUUUUCCUUGGUCAGACAGAGUCUAGAAGAUAAGUAGUUUUCCAAGUAAACAGCGCAGUCCAACACACCAACACUUCAAUUCUAUCUUAUACUGGCUGCCAUCUAGAACAACCCCUUUUCUUAAACCAUUACUAUUAUUUCAAAACUUCUGUCCAACAAUUUUAAAUAUUAUAAAUUUUUUUGGUAGCUUUGAAUUAGUUGAGUAAACAUGAACCUUGCAAUGCUUACUUUCAGACCAAUCCAACAAGUCAAAGGAAAAGCCCUAGUUCAAUGCAUCCAAUAGAUUGCUUUUUAAUUGCUCUAUUACUCGUACUUGCUUACGUAUAACACACAUUCAAUUCAACAAAGUCACAAGCAUAGUGUGUUGCACAGUACACGUUCACACAAUAUUACUCAUACACAUGUUCAGAAACGUCAACUAUAUCAAUCAGAACAACUGUCUCAAACUCUAAAUCUAGCAAACAAAACCAACCUUAUAAAUAUCACACACACCAUACUCUUCAAAGUCUCAUAUCUCACAUUCCAAACCUUUCUUUUCUUCUUUUCAUUUUAACCCUUUUCUCCAUUCAUCAUAUCCAUAUUCUGACACCCUUUUAAACCAGAAAACAUUAUAUAGUACUGAUAUUUGUGGCACAGUGGCGAUGAAGAGAGAAAGAGAAGUUGAUAGCGUAACCAUGGCCAACUACUUGAUGUUGCUUUCUGCAGGAGGUGAAUUUGAGAAGACAAACUACUUGAACUACUCUUCCAACCACCGUGUGUUUGAGUGCAAGACGUGUAAGAGGCAGUUUCCGUCGUUUCAAGCCUUGGGAGGGCACCGUGCGAGUCACAAGAAACCUAGGUUGAUGGGAGAGAGUGAGCAUAGCCAAGUUCUUCAUGGUUCACCACCAAAACCUAAGACUCAUGAGUGUUCAGUCUGUGGUUUGGAGUUUGCGAUAGGGCAAGCUUUGGGAGGACACAUGAGACGCCAUAGAACAUCAUCAAAUGGAAACAUGAACAAUGCUACUGCUACCACUGUUCAUAAUACUUCUUCACCAAAAAUGAACCACAAGGGUAGCAGCAACGAGAGAGUUCUGUUCCCUGAUCUGAAUUUGACGCCAUUAGAGAAUGAUUUGGAGUUUUUGAAGAUCAGACAACCAGCUCCUUUGGUUCACUGCUUCAAUUGAAUAUGUUCUUGUAGUGUAGGACACUGCUUUUUGCUCCCUUUUUUCAUUUUUAUUUUACUGUAUGUAAAUUAUAUUUGUUCAGUUCUUGGUAUAUACAUACAUACAUAUAUCUAUAAGAAAUUUGUGUUUGUGAAAACAAAGAACAAGUAUCCGCGUAAUUUGUAAAUCAAUUCUGCUAAAAUAGUUUAACUGAAGGCAUGUUUCAUCAUGGCUUAUCAUUAAGCUAAUUAAUUGUUCUGCAAGUGCUAAUCUCAGGCCUGUUAAGCUUGAUUUUUCUAUUAUGCACUUAACAACGCAGAGGUUAAUUGGUUAUUGUUGUUCCAAAACCUUAAAAACAGCUAUGUUCCUUGUCAUCUCACCAGAAAAAAGAAAACCCUAAAAAUACUCGAAAGAUUUCAAUCUUCUCUUCUCUUGAAUCCUAACGUUGAACCUUUCCUUUAAACUGACAUUUUAUUUAUCACUAUUUAAGCUUAUUUUGCGUACAACUCACGGUUUGUUUAAUUCGUAGGUCAUUUUGCAGUUGUCGUUUUAAAUAAUGAGAUUGGUGUGACAAUAAAUUCAAUUUCAGAACGUGAUUCAUGGUGGAAACAAUUCUAUACAACCUAGCACUGCAAAUAUAAAAUUUUAAAUACGAACUAAACUUUGAUUUCUCUUUGUAUAUUUAAUCAAGUCAAAGGUUUGCAAACAUGCAUGAUGCACGUUCUCAAGGAAAAUAACCACAAAACGGGUUUCUUAACAGAGAAUAGAAAGCGAUCUGCAUAACUGCUUCUGAUUAUUCUAAAUAACUUUUCCUUUAUGUAUAAUUAAUCAAAAAACAUGUACCCUAAUGCUUGUUCUAGAUAUAUAUGGUGAUGAACAUCGAAAUACAACGAAGAGAUAAGACAGCGGUUGUUUUUUACAAUUAACAAUGAUUUGAUAAUCGAAACCUAUUAAAGCGAGGUUAAGAAGAGGUUGAAACAUUAAAAUAUAUGUUUACUUGUUUCUAAUUCACUACUAAUAACUUUUAGUGAUUUUGUUACUUAAUGCAGAACAGAUCCUUAUCACAUUCACGAAAUUUCUUUCCGUAAAACAUGUAAAAAAAUUCGUUGGAAUAUUAUUGUGGAAUUGAUUUUUGUAUAAUCCAAUUUCUGUGGACAUCAUGCAAUCUAGAAGGUAACAAAUUUUCAAAUAGCAGUGCCGUGCAGUUGGUUCCAAUGAAACCUUAUCCUACAACAACAACCUGCGUUCAUCUAGAAAUUUGUUUCAUUCCCACUCUCAUUUCAAACUUUGUGUUCAACAAAUUUAACCAUUUUAAUAUUUGUGGCUACUACUAGCUAGAGUAAGCUAAAUUGGAGCAUGGAUUCAUCGCAGGUUAGGAUUAAAUUAGUAUUAAAAGAAUCUGGCUUUAAAAGAGUUUUAGUGGUAAAAUUGAUGCUGUAAGACAUUUGAAUUCCAAGAAUUAAUUUUAUUUAAAUGUUCAAAGUUGCUAAAGGGAGGUUCAAUACACAUAUAUCUCCACAUUGGUGAGAUAUUCUCCAUUUUGGGUCAAACUCUCAUGGAUUUGUUUUUAGUAUCACUUUAAAGACCUUUUAAGAUAUCUUAUCUGUAUAUAAACUGAUGUCUAUCUCUUACGUCGAUUCGAUGUGAAACUUUGUUUGUACCAAAUAAUUGUCAGAUCACAUAAUACUUUACUAAUAUAACAGUUAUAAAAGUUGUUAUAGAUAAGUAAAUAUUUUAAUAUUUUAAUAUCCUUCUUCUAAACAGUUUCUUCAGAAUUAUGUUCUAGCCAGUAAUCCACAAAUGCACGACAAGCUACCAAGUUCGUCUAGAUAGUAUGAUAAGUAAGCACAUAAAAAUGGCCCCAAUUUCAUGUAUGAACAAAACUAUAUUUUUAACAAUUUUCUAUGUAGACUUCCUUGUCAAGUAUAUUGUUUCAUUAGGGUACUGACAGAUAAAAUAAAUAAAUCUAAAAUAUUAUUCACCUCGUUGUAAAAUGCAACAUAAAUUAUAGUAAUUUAUAAGAGAAGUAGAAAAUUAAUAGGUAGAGGAUAUAAUAAAUGAUAAAUAUUAUAUAAUCUGAUGGGUGAUUUUAAGUCUAACUUCAUCUUAUAUAAUCUAAUUUUCAAAUAGGAUUUACACCUAUAAACACUAUAUGAAUAAAUACUUAGUAUUACUCAUGUAGAAGAAGUUACACCUGGCUCAAGCUUAAUUACUAUAAUUAUAUUAAUUAUCAAACAAACAAUAAUUUCUCAUCAGUUAAGUUGUAUAUUAAUUUAUUUUAUGUCACUAUAUAACACAUCAAGUGUAAAAAGGUAUGUUAUAUAUAAAAAGAUCCAUAAAAAAACUAUAAUUUGAGAUAUUGUAAGUUUUGACCUGAUUUCAUGGUACCUCAUUAUAUACUAAUUUAGUACAAGUUACGUCAGGUAGGUGCACCAAGUUAUUUAUAAAUCUAUAAAAUGUAGUUAUCAAUGUUAAACUUUGAAACAUGGCACACAAGAUUGGAUUGCCAAGUCAUAGAGUGUGGCAGAAUUUUCCUCAGUUAACAACAUUUCAACUAUGUGCUUAUGUACACCAUACACACUAUAAUCACAAUAGACUUUAGUUUAUCCUUCGACAUAAUAAUUUAAUAAUUUGUCUAAGUUUAGCAAUUUCCUUCAUUUUUUCUUAGUCAUAUCUCAUUAGAGACUUUUGGGAGGCUUCAUACAAACAACUAUUUCUAUAAGGAGAUUUAGAAACUAUCUUUGUUUUUUAUGUUUAAGUGACGCGUAGUUUUUUUACUUGAACUUGGAAAUAUGGUAUAUAAAUAUUAGAUUUAUUAAAUAAUAAUAAUAUAUGAACAAUUUCACAUCUGAGAUGUAAGACUUUUCUCUGUAAUAUUAUUCUGUUUAGUUUGGACUUUUUUUAGCUGAUUUUGUCAUUUAGCUAGUUGAAUCAAAGAAAGAACUCUUACUUGGCUACAGUACGUGUGUUGUUAAUUGUUUAGUAUGAGGUUGAUUAGGACAUCAAACUUACAACAUUUUAGGAAGCUAUUCAUUGGUAGCUUGUUCUAGAAAGGUUGGUUUUCGACAUCAUUGGAUCAUGUUUGACAAAGAAGCGUACCCAAAAAACAAAAUGACUUGAACAGUUUUCUCACUCAUGAGGUAACCAUGUAAAGGUCGACUUCUUUUUACAAUGUAUAUAUAACAGUUUAUGAUUGGUCCGUUUUAAAUAUUUUUUUAGAAUAAAUUCAAACAAACCAAUAAAAUGGUGACACAUAUUCUGUUAUCAAAAAAUUAUUAAAAAAAAAUUAUUAAAAUAUUAUUAUCCUUUUUACAAAUAUGCACAAGAGAAAAGUGGUAAUACCUCUACUUUGUUGGUUGAACCACAAUUGUAACUCAAUAAUUUUACCAUUACUAAAACUAUAAUCAUAAUAAAUUACUAAUUUGGGAAUUGCUUUUCUAUUAUAGUAUAUAUAUAUUAUUAUUAUAUUAUAUUAUAUUAUAUUAUUAUUAUUAUUAUUAUUUUAAUUUGACCCAAACAGUCAACCACAAAAGUUAGUUUUUUUCUCUUAAUUUUACAAAGUUAGUAAUUUGAUUCCAUCAAUUUCGGUCGAAGCAAUUGACUAUUCAAUUUUCCCACAAUUUUCUAUACCUUAUUUUGUCACAAACAAAUUAAGUCAUCAUGAGAACAUGCUUAAUCCACUCAUAUGCUUAUCUUUGAUGUUAAAUAUAAUAUAUAUUAUUAAUUAAAAUACUUUUUAGGCUCGCAAAACUAAUAUUAAAUAUAAUAAAGUUUAUAAAUAUCGCAUUGUGAUGUAAGCAAAGUUAUAUAAACUAUUUUAGAUAUCAUAAUAAUAUACUUUUUAGCCCUGUCUUUCCAUUGUAAUUAAUUUUAUAUAUUUUCACAAUAAUAGGAUAAAAGAAUCUAUAAAAUUCGUGAAUGCAUCAUUAAUAUAGUUCUAUAAAAUAAUAUUUAAAUUUUAAAUAUGUUGAUAUUUAUAGUAAAUGUUCUAUACCCGAUGAAAUAUCACAUCAUUAAUAUAACCUUGUAAUACAAAUACAAAUAGUUCAAUUCCUUAUAAUGUAGAUUUUAAUGAUUUUCACAUAAAUUUACAUGUGACAAGAACAAAUUCUAGGAUUCACAUUGAAUGAGUUUUAUUUCAAGUUAAAACAAACACACAACUAGACAAAUUUGAGACUAUUAGGAUUCUAAAGUAUUAUUAACAUUUGUAAGUGGCACAAUUUUAUGCAACACAAAUGCAAAAAAUGUACUUGCUGAAAAGCAAUUUCAUUUUAGGUUAAUAAUUACAAGCAAAACUCAAUUAAUUUUGAAGAUAAAUCAAGUUAUACAAAGAAGUUUUUACCAACUAAUAUACUAUUUAACCAAUAUAAAUUAAUUAGAAUUUCUUUAAAGCAUAAUUAAAUAAAAAAUUAUUUCAAAAAGAUUUUAAAAUUACUUACUUUUUCAUUCAUACAAAUUAAUAUAGACUAUGAAUCAUUUAAUCGUUUUAUUGCUUUUUUAAUUUUUAGAAAAUUUAACACAAACAAUCACAAUAAUUUUACUCUGGUCAACUUUUAUAAUGAGUAAAAUUGAUAAGAAAAAUGAAAAAUAACUUUUCUGACGAAAAUUAAUUCUAGGUUAGAAACACACAACAUAUAUAAUUAUAUUUACAUCAAGCAAACUUAACUUUGUUAUUUUCCUUUAAACUAGAGUUUCUAAUAGACAUCAUUUUGUUUAAUAUCUUCAAUUCUCUUAACAUCAGUUGGAUCAAAAUGUAAAACAAAAGGACUUUUUUACCAUCCAAAUCAUAUUUGAAAGAUAUUUUUUAAACACAAUUUUUAAUUACUUCAAUUCUUUUAAAAUCCUGAUAUAACUUGUAAAUAUUAAUUUUAACAAAUUCUAAAAUGUAUCCAACAUAUUCCGAAUUAUUCAUUCCAAAAUAAAAUCACAUAAAUUCGACCAACCAGUAUAGAAUAGUAACAAAAGGCAUUACGGAAUUAUGAUUUUAAAAUUACGUAGGAUAAAUACCAUUUACAUAAUUCUUGAUAAGAAAUUGUAAAAAUGCACUUGAUAACAUGCAAUUAAAAAACAUAAUUCUUGAUAUUAUGGAUAUAUUACAAAAGGAAAAAUAUAUAACUACAAAUUUAAAAAGAUAGGGAAAAUAGCAUAAUUCUUUGAUUUUAAUUUAAGUGAUCCUCAAACUUAAUUGAUACUUAAACUUUAUUAUUUUUGUAAAUAAAUACCUAGAAUAUUAAAUUUAUUCUAACUAAUCCUUAAAGCUUAUCAAUCAAUCUUUUAUAAUAUAUUUUUUUCUAGGAAGUUUGAUUUUAAUAGUUUACAUUAAAUGUUAGUAAUUAUUAGUUUUUCUUACCUGUGAUUAUAAUUCCUUUUUCAUAUGUAAAAAUAUGUUAAAAGUGAGAAUUCAGAAGGAAAAAAAAAUAAAAUGCCUAUUCAAAUUUUACAAAUAAUUUUUUAUUUGUCUAUGUAAAAUUCUACAAUUUUUAUAAAAUGUAAUACUUUGAUUUUAUUUGUUGCUUAAGUCAUGAUGCUAUCGUCUAAAAAAAAUCAAUUAUAUAAACUUGAAUAGUCAAAUUUAGAAGCUACGGACCCUGAAUUACUAAAAAUUUCAAUAUUCAAAUUUGGAAUUUUGCUCAAAAACAUCGAAUUUAAUUCAAUUCAAAUAAAUCAAUUUAUUAUCAAUACGCCUUAUUAUAUAAUGAUUCAGUUUAAAUAAUAUUUUUUUGAAAAUUGUUUAUAAAAAAAUUGGUAUGCUUUAAGGAUUAAUUACAAUAUAAUUAAAAUUUACGUGCUUAUACAAAAAGAAAAUAAAAAAAAGUUUAAGGAUUAAAUUGGACCAAAAUUAAAAUUAAAAACAUCUAUUCAUAAAUAAGAUCAAUUAAAAUAAAAUUAGCGUUAAACCAAAUUAUAGUUUAGGAUAUUAGAUAAUGUUUCCUCUAAAAGAAUAAAAGAAUAUCGAGAUGCGAAUAGUAAAAUUAUGAGAACAAAAUACCUUUCGUCUUCCCAAAAAAAUACUUUAUUUCCUUUUCUUAUUGUUUCUUUCGUCCAGUAACAUGUAAAGUGAUAAAAUGAAACUACUGUGGUGGGUUAGGACAUGUUUCAAGUUAUUGAUGAGAAAUCAAAACGUAAAUAUGACAAUUUUUUUCUAAUCAUAUUCUAUCAUAUCAUUCAAACAAUGGAAUGAAGAAUUUAUUCCAUUUCAUCUUAUGUGCCUCUACUAAUCCAAACAUAGCCUUAGAUUUUCAUAUUCACUUCAAUGUUUUUAACCAUAUAUAAUCAGAUAAACCUAUACACAGGAGGAGGUUUUUAGACUGGCUAGUCCUAAAAGAUAGAACCCAACAAUGGUCGUUCCAACAACAGUAACAGAGCUAAUGCCUUUCUUUGUUAAAAAGUAGAACAAGAAAACCUAAUGUGUAAUUUGCUAAGUGUGGAUAUUAGUUCUUGGAAAGUAAUCCAGAUUAUCUUCUUACUUAGGAUCCAUAGGACACACUUGGAGGGUUGUUUGUGAUCCACAUAAAUCAUGACUACUGGUUAUUUUUUGUCUUACCACUUCACUCUGAUAGUUGUAUAACAUGGCCACCACUAUUGUUGUCACAUGUCAAAGGGCGCACCACCCUUUUCUGACAUGCCAGAACAAUAGUGCAACAAUCAUAUGCACUCCAUAUCUCUUAGCAAAGCUGAUAAGGUCAAACACAAAAGCCGCCUAAAGCAAGGAAUGGUGAAACAACGCGGGACAAAUGUUUUUUGAAACAAACUCAACAUAACAGAACAUCUCUACUCUAAGAUGUUUCUGCACUCUGUCAAAUACUAUUGACAGCUCUGUAUAGCAAAGCUUUGUAAGUUGAAUUUUCAAUUUCUUUUUACUCAGCUAUGCUUAGUUGUAAACACACGAGGCACCUGAACUAAGGAUUACCCUACAAGCUCUUACUAAAAUUCUCCCACGACAACAACUUCCAUCCUCUGCACCAUAAUGUGAGAAUGAGUCUGGAUCACUGGGGAGAAUCAUAAAUUGGUGACAUGGAUGAGAGUUUUCAUCGGAAAGCCCUAGCGGGAUUCAUAAGUUAUAAUCUAUGAAUAGGACGCACAAAACCACUGGUUUGAAUUGAUCAACACAUAUAUAAUCAUGCAAGCAGUGAUUACAGGUGAACCAAAUCUGAAAUUAAAUUGAAUAAAAGGGCAUGGCAGAAGUGAAUAUAAACUCUGAAGCAACAAUUGGGAAUUUUAGUCUGCUUUUAGAUUUCAUCGUUUCUGUUCUAACAUGUGCUAUCGAGCAGUUUCACAGUGGAUAAAAAGACAACAUAUGCAUGAUUCAAAUUGAUAAACAGCGGAAGAUAAAGAUUGUUUAAUAUAAUAAUAAAUCGAAGCAUAGAAACAGAAUAGAAGUGAAGGUGUGAUCUAAGAGAGUUAGUUAGGGUUUUGAGGAUGAUCUUGGGGGUUACCGAAUUUUUCUUUGAAGGAAUUCUGGCGCUGCAACCACAUCAUGUGACCCUGAAAUUGAAAACGCAAAGCAACAGAAGAAAGUAGAUGAAGAAUUGAAGAGAAGGGAGAAGAAUAAAUAUGGAUAACCUACCUUACCUGAAGAGCUGCAGCCCAAGCAAUGAUGAAAGAUGCCAUCCAAAAUUUCUUGUCCUUCACCACAUUUUUCAAUUCCAUUCUUAUUUCAAUUCAAUUUCAAUUUCAAUGGCUUCUUCGUGUUUGGAUUCCUUCUUCCCUAAUGCAGCAAUCACAACGCCAUUUUCUUUAAACUCUUCUCUUUGAACAAUACCAGGCCACCCAGAUAGCCCAAUCAUACACUUUCCUUCCUUCAUGAGGCCCAAAUAUUUCAAACACUUCUGCUCUUAUACCAAAAAAUAACUAAAUAUUUUGUAAAAUGUAACUACUUUUCAUAUUUAAAAUAAUUAAUCUAUUUGACUCUUAUUUUAAAAUAAUUUAAAACAUUAUACUAUAUUAAAUUAUCCUUAACCUUAUGUGCAUUUCUUUCACUUAGUUACAGCAACAACAUGCAUUCUCAUGUUUAUCUUUCAUUUGAUAAUCUUCUCUACUAACAUUUUUAGAAGAAAAUAAAAAAUAAAAAUAAAUAAAUUUAUAUAUGAUAAAAACUAACAUGCAUAUAAAUUAAUUUGUAAUUUUUUCUCAAAUUUCCAGAUGGUGAUUUGUUAUUUAAAAAUGCAUAUAUAUAAACUUACUUCAUUUUUUUAAGAGAAUUAAAGUUUAUUCAACCAGACAUGUCAUGAUAAAGUCUAUGUUUAUCUCUUCUUAUGUAUACACAAAUUUAACAAGGUCACACUAUUAUCUUUUAUGAAAAAAGAGAAAUAGACCCAUAAUGAUAUAAUAUUGUAAAUUAUAAAUAUUAAAAUAUAAAUUUGUAGAGUUUACAGUCCAAUCUUUUUGUAAAUCAGAGAGUAUGAAAUAUAAUGUUUUCUAAUGUUUUAUAUGAUUGAAAGUGAUAACUAUGAGAAUGAGCAAUAUAUAAUGUAUAUUUUUAUUUUGUUUUUAUUAUCAUACUUAUCCAUAUCUUAAAUUAUUAAUACACUCUUAAUUUAUUUAAUAUUUUAUUUUAAAAUUUGUAAUUAUAAUUGUUAGUUUUAUUUGACAUGUAAGAGAAGAAAAUGUACAAUACUUUAAUGAAUUCUUGAUAUACCUAUUAUUUGACGGAAAGGGAAAUGACACCAAUUUUGUAUCUAUUUUAGAGAUAAAAACAAGUAUAAAGUUUUAUUCCAAAAAGAGAAAAAGGAGGAUAGACAAACCACACACACCUAAUUGCCAUCCACCCAAAAUGCCCUUAUAUGUGGGGAUUAUAUCAGCAUUCAAUAUAUAUGUGUGUGUAUAUAUAUAUAUAUAUAUAUGCCACUCUUAGUUUUGUCUUUUAAAGAAGUUUGGUAUUAAAUUUGCAUGGACUCAAGAUUUCUAAUCCUUCUAAGUAUUGAAAUUUAUUUAAAAAACUAUUAUUUCCUAACAAGUUUUCUUUCAUGCACAUAAAUUUGAAAAUCAAACCAUAUUAAAAUAGAGCUACUGUUUUAUCAGUUUGCAUCACCCCUUUCAUUUGAUUAAAAGGUAGAGUAAGAACACUAAAACUGCAAUCCUCUCUAAAUAUCCUAUCUAUACCAUCCAUUAUCGUUUGAUUUAAGUCCAAACCCCAACUUCAGGUCUAAAAUAUGAUCAUACAUUGCAGUGUCCAAACUGAGAUAAUGUCCAAAUUUGCAUCAUCUAAGAGCUGAGCCCCAGCAAAGGAAGAUUAAUAUAAUGUGCUCUCCCCAACUUCACAAAUUGGUGUCUAAGACCCAAAAUAUGAAAAAAAAAAAGGAGCAACCAAAGAAAUGAUUAACUCCUUUUUUUUUUAAGAGACGUAAUGAACUAGCAAGCAAAUAGCUCAUUCAACCAGAAUUAUAAUUUGUGUCCUCCUCCUCGAGAAGAUACUGAUGCAGAGGCAACUAAAAUUUAUUUGUGUCUAAGUCAGUUGAGUUGUCAACCAAAAUAACAUGAAGAUGGUAAUAAAGAUCUAAUUUUAUGUAACUCUCAUUCACUUGUAACAAUCCUAAGAAAUUAUCUUUCAACUGGGCAGCUUGCCAGAUAGGAAGAGAGAUAGCUUCUCUCUCAUAGCGUUGGCAGUGUUGUCCACAAAUUCACAGGUUUGGUCUGGAUAUCUGGAAUCGUGCUGGUGGCAAGAGGGCAUAUCAUUCAGUACUUCAUCCUUCAUAUCGAUAACUAUAUUAUGCAGAAUGCAGCAGACAAGAAUAAUUCUUGGUAACUUGUGCUUGUCAGGUUUCCACAUCACACCUUGGAUUAUCCUCCACAUCUCCUUCAGCCUAGCCAAUGCUUUCUUGGCCAACAUUUGAGUUUCGACAACCCUUCUAUUAAACUCAACUUGAACAUUUGAGAGUCCUUUACCUUCGUAAGGUGUAAGAAGCCAUGGCAAAAGGGGAAAGCCUCUAUCCCCUAUAAUAUACUCCCUUACUGCCGUUCCUUCUGGAAGUACUUUCUUACCCCCAUUCAACCUUUUCCCUUCUUCACCAAGUUUGAAAAAAGAACAACUUCGAAGCACUUGCUCAUCACUCAUACUUCCAGGCCAUCCAGUAACUAUGUCACGGAAUCUCAGAUCAGGAUCCACAAUGGCUUGCAAGACCAUGCUGCAAUUCUUCUCACGAUCGAGCCACACACUAUUCAAAGCAUCCACAGAGGGCAAAGUCAUCAUUAUGUGUGUGCUGUCAACGGCACCACAACAAUUAGAAAGGCCCCUGAAGUUCUCAAACUUGGACUUUAUCUCUUCCAUUUCGGUUUCAGUUGAAGGCCAGCUGAGAUGGUGUAGUCCUCUUUCUUCCAUUGCUUCCACAAACCUCCAUGUUACUUGGGAAACAGUCGACUGGUUCAUCCUAAAUGAGUCGCCAAUGGUUGACAAUGACUCACCAGAGCUGAGCCUUCUAAGAGCUAUAGCCACUUGGUCAUUUAGAGACAAACGUUUUCCAUUUAAAUCAACAAAAUUUGAGGCUCUGGCCAGCAGGUCUUCUUCCACAAGAGAACAUAUAUAGUUGAACGUCUUCCUUGAGAUCUUGAAAACUGACUCAAAUUUCUCUAUAUUUUUAGAUUGAGCCAAAGGUCCUACAAUUGGAAAAUUAAAGCAUGAGCAUAUCAUGAAGAUGGGCAGUUGAAUUUCACAAAUGUAUUAUGAAUAAGUUUAGUACAUCAUGCACCAUCUUGAAUAACAUGAAAGGAACUUAACCCACAUGCCAGAAGAAGUAAAGGCAGAAACAAUAUUCUUUAUAUCCAGACACAGUUAUACUCAAAUAUAUUAGAAAUAUAUGUGCAAAUUCUUUGUAACUGGUACCUAGAGGUCAGUUUCUCUGAACGCUGUGAGAAAAAUCCUUCUUUUCUUAUACAAAGAAAUCUACUCAGGUCACAGCAGAAAUAUCACAAAAAUAUGAACAACCUAAUGGCUACAUGCGACAGAAUUUUGAUUAAGAAAAUCAGUAUAGUAAGGCAUCUACUGAAUUCGGGUUCAUACCUCUGUUUUUUCAGAUGUUAUUUUCUUUUAAAAUCUCUUCAGCAGCCAAUGUUUUGAACUCAUUCAAAAUAAUUUUUUACUGUACCAACCAUACUAAUCUAACAUUUAUUCCAAGUUCAGCACAUCUGACAUUUAAACAACGAAGUUCCACAGAAUCUAUAUACCUUAGUUAUCUUCAAUCAAUUUAAUAAGCCACAUGCAAAAAUAUAUUUCAUAAAUAGUUAUAUUAGUUGGAAAGUACCGUGUUAACCACAGACUUGAAUAAUCUCACUGCUAAUGCAUCUGGUUAUCAGUAUAGAGAUGAGAUUGUAAAUUAUGUGACUCUUCAAAGCAGGCAUUGGGAAGAGACGAAAAGAUAAAUUAAAGGAAGAAAGAUCUUUAGAAAUGGGUUGAAAGUCAAAAUGAGUAUUGAUUGAAUUCAAUGCAUAAAACAUAAAGAAGCUGCACAAUUCACGUGAAAACAAUGCAUAAGAUACCCAGAUUGUUGUGUAAGUGGAUAACUGCAAUAAGUAAAGAUAACAAAUAUAAUUAUUCUGUUUAUACCUACAACCAGGAUCCCACCAAUGGUCUAAUUAUGUGGUGACACCAUACCAGAAGUUUCACAAUUUGGAAGGUUAAUAUACAAAUAGCAACUAGCCAAACAGAUAUACGAUAACCAAACAUGAUUCAACAAAAUUAUAACCAAAGUCCACUACAGUUUCUAAGUAAGAGAUACAUUCCUUGUAAGAAACACAUUUUGGUCAAAGGCAUGGGGUCACUUUCUUUAUCAAGUAAGUCAUCAAAGAUGUAUGCCCCAUAAGAGCAACAUGAAUAUGAAAGUCAAGCAGAGAAAACAAAGAUAUUAUCGAAUGAUGAGUAACUUAUUAAGCUUGAAGAAACAAUUCUCGUAUCAUUAUAAUCCUACCCAUUACCAAAAAGCACAAAACUUUUUUGCCCUACAUCAGAUAAUCAUAAUAAUAAUAAAUAAUAAUAAUAAUAAUAAGUAGAAGUCUUGAUAUACAAUGAAAAACAAGUAACAGACUAUCACACACACAUGUCCAAUCACAAACAAGAAAGGAUAUUGCAGUGUACCUGAAAUUCUGAGGGAGAAAUGUUGCCACCAAUCGAAUGGGGUGGCAGAGGCAUCUUGGCCAUCUUUGUCAUCAGCCUUCUUCCUCUUCUUGAUUCCUCUGAUGGAACCCAUUCAGUAUAUAUUCACAACCCAAAAUAACACCAAAGCAAAGCAAAAUCAGAAAAGGGGAACAAAACCCAUUAAUCACCACCCAGAUUUCAACUCCACCAAACAAGAAUCAAAGUGUGUGUGUGCAAAUUGCAGAGUAUUUAUUAUGACAUGAAAAAGAUAAAUGAAUGAAGUAGUAAAGCAUAGAGAGAAAGGGUGAAAGAAAGAACGAAGCAGAAUACGUGAAUAACUAAUACUAGGUGUAAUAUCCAUAUAUAUAUAUAUAUAUAUAUAUAUAUAUAUAUAUAUAUAUAGGUGGAGUGAAGGGAAUCAAAGAAUGUAAAAAAAAUAAAAUUAUAAAAAGAAAUUAAAAUAGUUCUCUGAGACGAGACCGCUAGUUUCUGUCGUAAAUCGACAUGUCAUGAACAAUUCAACACUUCCUUGCUUAUGGUCUUUCAAUUCCUUUUAUUUUUUACUUUUCAAAUCACUUUAACCAACUGGUAACUUUAGCAUUUAAAAUAUAAAUUCUAAAUAUAAAAACUGAAAAUAAAUUUUUUUAACAUUUCUCAGUGAAUGUUUUUUUACUGUCAGAAACAUGAAACCCUCUUGUUUAUUUCUCUGGUCGUUUUACCAAUUACCAUUUUCUUGUUUAUUUCUCUGGUCGUUUUACCAAUUACCAUUUUCAUUCCAUUCGUGCAUCUUGGUGUCUCUGAUAUUCAUUUCGAAAUAUCAUUUUCAUUUACUACAUUGUUGGACCAUUUUUGUUUCAUAUCAUCGUCACUGUCUCUGGAACUGGCUUAUAUGCGUGUACAAGUUCAUUUAAAGAUAUCAAUAUAUUUAUUUUUCAACAGAACAAUAGAUUAUAAUGUUUUGUUUAUUUCAAAAGUUUUACUAUUUAAAUUAAAACUAUAUUGGGUAUUAAUUUAUUUUAACAUAGAUAAAAUUAUUAACACUGGUGAAUAGUUUUAAAUCAAUUUCUCAUACUUUUAGUUCCGCAUAUUCUCACUUCUAGCUGGGUAACACUACGGUUUGACAUUCUUAUUGCUACUUUUGCGAUUUUAUAAAAUGAAAUAUAAAUAAAUUAUGAGCAUUCUUCACUUCUGGAUUCCAGAAAAAAACAUUCAUGUUUACAAAAUUUAAAAUCUGUGAUAAAGUAUGAAAAACUAUCCAUCAAGUGAAAAGAUUGAUCAUUUGCAUUGAAAUUGAUCCAAAAAUAUCAUAUUUAACCUCUAAAAACUAUAAAGUUUUAAAUUUUAUAAAAAAAAAAUGUAACUUUUCAUUAUGAUAAUGUUGUGGUGAAAGGUUUAAAUUCACCAAAUGAAUUUUUGUGUUUCAAAAUAUUAAUUCUUAACUCAACCAACAAACACCUUAAGUUCAUUGAAAAAUAAACUAUGAUAGGUAAAAAUUGUGAUUUAUUUUUUAAAAUAGUAUUUACUUUGCUACAAAGCAAACAAAUUUGUGAUUUGAACAUGGUAAAUUCUUUGAACUAAACUGUGAUAAUCAGAAGGACUGAAUUUUUUUCUAUUUGCUUUUAAUCCACUUGAUGAAAAAAUAAUAUGAAAAGCUAGCUUUAAUAUUUUUUAUAGAGCAGUAUCUUUUGACUUUUCAGAUUAAUACAGGUAGCCAAUAAAAAGUUAGUAAAGAAAGAGAAAAUAAUUAAUUCAGGAACACUAUUAUGGUUACUGUUUUAAAGCAAAUAUUUCAUGGCUUAAAAUAACAGAAAUAAUAAAACUGCGCCCACCGUGGGGCUCGAACCCACGACCACAAGGUUAAGAGCCUUGCGCUCUACCAACUGAGCUAGACGGGCUUUGUACUUUUUUAAGCUCUUAAUUUUAUUAGUCUUUAUAAUAUUGCACACAGUGUAAAUAAAUAUAUAUGCACAUAUCAUUAAUUUAAAUUAGAAUACUCAGUGAUCUUAAUUAAUAUUAAAUAGACUAAUAUUUUUAAAAUUCUUCAUAUUUUAGCCUUUUGAAAUUAUAUAAAAUCUGAAAUUAUAAAUGCAAAAAGUAGUCUCCCACUUAAUAUUUUGCAAGUUCUUUUCAUAGUUUGCCUGGUUUUGAAUAUUAAAAAAGCAUUGGGAUUAAAAUAAUUUACAAUUAGUUUUGAAAGUAAACUCAUUCAAAACUUCUAAACGUAAAAUAUCAUAGAACUAAAUUUCAACUAAUUUCUAUAUUAAUUUUAAAUAUAUAUAUAUAUAUAUAUAUAUAUAUAUAUAUAUAUAUAUAAUUAUUUAUGGUCCUACCUCUUAAUAUUGAAGCAGAACACUGUCACAAAAAAAUCAACCUAUAUUCAUAACCAAAGGCAGGGCCUCUAGACAGAAGAGUUGAACUUCGUUCCAGCUCUAUUUUUUCAAGGUCAAAUGUUCAUAACAAUAUCACAGAACAAAAUGUUCAAUAGAAGACAUUCUGGGGCAGAACUGUGGAAAUAAAGACAUAGCAUAUGACUACAAACAUUUGCAGAAUUUUUUGGAUGGAGAAUUUUAAUCUGUCAAAAGAAUUUGAAAUGAGUGAUAAUUCAAAAAAUUCCACUUAAUUGUGAACUAACCUGUUUAUUAGAUUAUUAAAUUUGAGUAAAUUCAACAAAUUUUACUGCAGAUAAAUGGUGAUGCAACAACAUUGGAUGCCGACAAAAAUAGAAGGAGCAAUAAUUCAUGUCAUCACAUGUCUAAUUUGAUUAAAGGGACAACACAAGGGAUAGAUGUUUCAAUAGCAACAAGUCACUCAACUCAUUGUUCCAUUUCUAACUGAACUAGAAGCAGCAUAAUCAUACCAAUUUGAGUGAUUAACAGUUUCUCAUUCGUACUCAUGAACCUUUGACAUCAUCCACAUCUGAUGAACUGCAUGAGAACUUCUGAAGCCUUGAUCCUCCCACUUGGACGUUCAUUCUCAACCCUUUGGUUUCUGAUGUCUGCUGAUCCGUAAUCCUUCAAAGACCCUUCCAACGCUCCAAAACUAGAACUAGAAAGUCGUAAAGAUCCUUCAUUUUCACCUGACUCCCUUGCAUCAUCAGUUCCUUCACACUCUUCUACUUUCUCCCAUUUUAUCCUUUCCCUACGCUUCUCCUCUGUCUGAGUCGAGGCAUUGGUGGCUUUCCCUGCAAACUCCUCGCACGUCUUUGCCCUGUAAAACUUGUAAUCACUCGAAUUAAAUGAUUGGCUUCUACCCUUUAUGGUAGCAGGGGAAUCUGCAUCCAUGCUAGAAUUGUUUGCUUCUGUCGAACUUUUGGAGCUUGAUGUUGAUAUUGUCUCACAGGAUCGAAAGCUCGAAGAAGCUUCUAUCAUCUGUGUCCCUUUCAGGACAUACUCAUGGCUUCCACUCGGGUAAAUGAAAUCAUUCUCAGACAAAUCUUGCCACACAAACCCGUUUUUGUAACUCCUAGGAAGAAAAAUCUCGUUAUCAUUGUUAGUUGCAAGAAGUUUGAGCUUCUGAGUGAACUAAAUAAACACGUGUUCUCAUUCACUUUAAGAAUGUAAUGUUCUACUACUAUCAAAGCACAAAUCUUUUUAUCUCAUUCGAACACACACGUUGAGGAGAUAGAAUAGAAAUGUACCUUUUUGUGGACCAAGAAUACAUUGCGGUCAUUCCUUGUCCCCGGAGAAAACUCAAUCUAUCUAUCACAUCUGGUGAGAACGAGAGAGUGAAUUUACAAGAGAAACAGUGAAUUAUAUCUGGGCAUAACUCAAAUUCAGCAGCUAGCAUCUCUAGUUUCCUUAUAGCAUUUACCUUUAAGACAUAGCACUCCUUGUGGAGAUGAGAUUGGAACCUCCAUGAGAUGUGGAUGCUCAAGCUGGCCAUUUCGGGAAAGGUAGUAUAUUACUGGAACUCUGAGCUCAGUUGGUUGAUGUUUUGGUUCAGUCCACAUUUUGGAGCUCUCAGAACCUGCUUCUCUUUCUACCAUUUUUUUCCCUUAACAAAAUAAAAAUAAAAAACAGCAAAUGGAGGCAAUGAGAGCCAAAGUUUGUGAGUGCAGAAUGAGAAGGUCUUGUAUUAUUAUUUGAAAUGGGAAGAUGGGUGUGUGGAAUUGUAUUCUGAAUUCAGGUACUGAAGUGAGAGAGAUUGUUGGCAUUUAUAAUGAAAUGGGCCAGCAUGAGGGAAAGUGGCUGUUGUUUGCGUUUGGCUAAUAAUGAGCUUUCAUGUACCAAUACCAGCAAGUGGCAUGGCAUGGCAUGCAAUUGCAUAUAUUUCACGGCAAGAUGCCAAACCUGUUUUUGAGCUUAUAAUAUUGAAGAGAUGCUACUACUAUGGUUGCAAGUUAAGGGUCAAAUGGUGUUUAUCAAUAUGAAAUAUCAAUCAUGGUACUUGCUCACGGACCAAAGUGAGCUCAGGACAAAUUUUUCAUUUUAUUCGUAUGAAGUCAAAAGUUGUCCCGUGAAACCAUCGCACUGCUUUCAGGGAAAAAAAUGGACUAGUUUCGGCAACCACGCAGAUUGUGCGGAAACUAAUCAGAACGUCGUGCACAAAAUAAAAUUAUAAAAAUGGCUAACUCACUGUUCCUUUACAUAGAAAAUUUAAACGACCAGAGAAAACAACGAACCUCAAACUACUACUAACAACUGAUCAAACGGCAAGGCAUUCUUCAACCGUGUUGUGGAGGAACUCGAUGGCGGUGUAAAGAUAAGGAAAUUGUCGAUGUGGGACAUUAGAUAAUUCUCAAACACUAAAAAAAGUGUCACACCGUUUACAAGAAGAAGAAAAUUCAUAAAAUAUUCUGAAUCAUUAAGCAUCAUUUGGUGCCGUGCCUUCACUUUUGCCAUGUAUAGUAAGUAACAAAAACCUUCCUUGUUGGUGAAGCAUAAGUCGUAAUAAAGGGUUUAUUUUGCAUGACAAAAACCUUAGUAAUCAAGUUUGAAGGCAGUUUCUCAUGUUUUAGCCCAUAGGACAUAGUAAAAAAGAUCAAAUUUUACCUUCUUUUAAAUGGUUUAAUAAACUUUUAGAUUGUUCUAUUUAUUAUAGGAAAAAGAAAGUCUUUUUUUAUAUAAAAAAAAAUAGUAUUGAGAUGUUUUCUAAUAGGAGGGAUUGGGUUGAUACAUUUUAACAUCUCCAUGCAGACAUUUUUUUUUUUUUUUUGCCUUGUACUGCAAAUCAUUCUCUCACUUUAUUUGUAAAUAAAGAAAACUAUUAAAAAUCUUCUUAAACAAUUAGAAUUCAACAAAUGAGUACUUUUUUCCCUGUCCACCUACUCUGUCACUUCUCUCCUGAAAAACUUUAGAUAGAUAUUUAUGGUGAUUAUGCAGUAUAAUCUGUGUGCAGGAAAACCACUUGGUCACGCUAUGUCUCCAGCUGUUUCACUCUUCUCUGAAGCUGAAGUGGCGUGUGAAUGAAAAGAGUACAGUGGCAGAAGGCUUGAAUGAGAAAGCAGGUGGUGGUGAGAGAUGAGAUGAAUGAUGGAAGCUUACGUGUGAUAGGGAAUAAAUCGGAAACAAAAGAAGAAACUGUGGACAGGCACAGCGUGGCAUUUGCAUUGAGCCCUUCAAUGCACAGAACAAGCUACCGGGCCACUAUUUGGAACCACUACGUUCCAAUAUCACUGAUGAGUGCAGACAGAGCAAAUUGCAUGGAGAAGAGGGAGGAGUGUGCUAUUUGUCAUCGUGAGAUGUUUGGCCACUUGUAUUCUUAGAGUCCACAACUGUAGAAAAAAACAAAAAUGAAAGUACUUGUAGUAGAAAUUCAAGAGGGUCGAGCCCAGUUCACCACUUCUAAAACAACAGUAAGAUAAUGAGCAAACAUUUUAAGGUCUUGAAUAACAAUGAUUUUGUAACUUUGUUCAAAAGGGUGUGUGUACUGUGUGCAGAAGCUGUGUAAGCAGUUCCAGUGCCUCGAUUUUAUACCUUACUGUAUUUUUUUCUCUCAGAUUAACAGCUUAGUCCAGAAAUAUAUGUUCACAUGCAGUUUAGUCCUUGAAUGAGUUAGUUCCUGAGUUUAUAAAAUCAUGUACAAUGUAGUCCUUUCAUUGAUACAAAUUUCAUAUUCAGAGACUAACAGUAGAAGAAAACAGUUUGAGGGAUCAAUUUGUUAAUUAAUUUUCUGUAUAUUUUUCUCUAAUACGAGUGAUUUCGAUCUUCCUGACAAUGUGAGAAUCACUCAGACUUCAUUUUCAGUGAGCAGGUAACCAAAAUCAAUGAUGAACAGGUAAGUUUUUCUAGGAAUUCAGUCAUAUUUUUAUUCUUCAUUGGAAAUCUUUGAACUGAUUUGGCUUUGGCAUGGCAGGGUGUUGAUUCUUAUGUCACUGCAUAAAAUCCUAGCCAUAAAAAAGAAAUUAUAUGCAAUAAAAAAAAAUUGACCCUUAGAUUUGUGACUGGAUGUAAGAUCCUGCAGUUUCCUUCCAAAUACAGAGAAUCACUGUCAGGCAUUGAAGCAGUAGCCAUAAUAAUUGCUUGGAUAAGUUGCUUUUGAGGUACUAUGCAGAAUUGGAACCAGAAACUUGGAGGGAGACCCCUCAUUCGUAUCUGUCAGGUGAUAAUCAUCACAGGAAAGUAAGUGCUGAGACAAAUCUUCUUCAUUAGAUUAAUCAACUAUCUAAUCAUUAUUUUUUUUCAAUCUUAUAGUCCUUGAUUCUUGAAAUGCUAGGAGCACAUUCCUUACACAGAAGCAGUGCAAGAAGAAUAUGAUAAUCUGUAAUCCAUUUUUAAGAUUAAUGAAAAAGUUAAUGUGUUUACUAGAAGAGUGAGAAAAGUGAGACAUAUAAAGUAGAAGAAUCUAUUAGUUACAUGUUAAUUCAUUUUUGCUUUGAUAAUUGGGGUCCUCAAUUAAAUGCGAGUUUGAAUUCGAUACAAAAUCUUUUAUAAUUCAUUACAAAACCUAAAGCUAGUUGAUUCCAUUUUCAAUUUUUUGAUGCGACUUUAGGGACCAAAGUUUUGUUUGUCAUCUAAACGUGCACCGAUUGACUGAUCAAACUUUCUUGGCAUGAGUGUAAGUUUCUUAGUUACUGAUAAUCACAUUAAUAAUUUUUUUAAGAGUACGGAAAAUAUAUUCCCAAGUAUUAUUAAAAAAAAAUAUCAAUAAGUCAUCCACAAUAAUGAUUUAAAAAAUUAUUCUUUUUUCAUAUAUUUACAAUUUUUUCAUUCAUUUCACAAUAUUCUUUCUACUUUUUACUCUUUCCUUUUUUAAAAAAUUAUAAAAAUUUACAUAUGUAUAACUAUUUUAUUUUUGUACUAUAUGUUAUAUGUUAAAUGAAUACAAAGUAUGUCAUAAUAUCUUUAAUCCGCCUCUAAUGAUUUUUCUCCAUUCUCACCUGCACUCUGCCAAUUUUCUCCAUGUUCUGUGCUUCAGUUUUUAUCCAUUUAUAAAACUUUCAUCUUCUUUACAAGUACAAAGCUCAGAAAUCUUCUCGUGAAUGAGAAAAAGCUAGUCAAGGAUAAUGGAGACAUCUAAAUAUGAGAUACAACCAGGAUAAGAUGCUACAGAAAAAAAAAAAAAAAAAAAGCUUGAAUUUGCUGUUUGUUAAUUCACACCAAAUUGUCUUAUCUAUCGGUGAACAAAACCUCAAACUAUUAGUAACUUUUUCAUCUCCUACUUUCCUUUGCUUACAGCAAACACAAAAUUUUCAUUUUAACAGGGGAAUAUAAUUAUCAAAAUAACAAGGGGAAGUAAGAAACUGAAAAUCCCGAUCAUCUAUGAAUGCAGCACUAUUGUAUUCUAUAAACUACAAUCAAAUGUCUACGACAGUAAACAAGAACCAUGACCUGGUUGAGUUUUCCUACAUGCUUUAGGUUGUAGUUGCAGCACCUGUUUGUUUCUUAGGACAUUCCGAAAAACCAUGUCCUUUCUCACCACAUUCAUAGCACGUCCUUCUCUUCAUCUUGCCACUUACUGUGGAACUUGAUUUAUCACCAUCAGCUCCAUUCAUCUUGCCACUUCCUGAGGAAGUUGAUUUAUCACCAUUAGCUUCAUUAACUGUCGAGCUUUUACGAGUUCCUGGUUUUUUAAUCAGAGGAACCGCACAACUUAUCCUGACAGGUCUCCCAAACAAAACAUUUUGGUCCAAUGUAAGUGCUGUUUUCAGUGACUGACUAUCACCGAAAUCCACAUGAGCAUACCCUCGAAACUCUCCCGUCUCCUUAUCCAUACCAAAUCGUAUAGACGUUAUCUCACAGUUAUUGAAGAAUUUCCUCAGUUCCUCCUCUGUUAUAUCCCAUGACAAAUUCCCAACAUACACUCUAUUGUACCCCUCCAAAAUUUCUGGAGCAAAAUCCGAUGUUUUAUUGGCUCGCGUUGCUUUAUAUGCUUGGAUUUUAAGAAAGAGUCCUCCCCUGUUACACAUUAAUGUUUGAUGAGAAAUGCGCAAAUACAGUAAAUCAAGAAAGCAAGAAAGAAAAUUGCCAGUGUUACUAACAUGUCAGCUCCAUCAAGAGCCAAUGCCCGUUUAGCUGCUGCUUCGGUCUGCAGGAACAGUGCCACAAAAUUGUCAGUAAGUUGUGGACAUGCUUAUUACUACCAAAGUGAAGUAUAAACUUAAGAAAUAACAUAACUAGUGAGGGAAGAAGAAAUAACCUAAAAAAGAGGUUUCUCAAUUCAAGUCGAAAUUGAAGAACACCAAAAAUAAAGUAACACUUUCAGGAAUAGAGCAUUAUUCGUCACUCACCUUAAAACUAAUAAUGGCAAUCCCUCUAAACUUGCCACUUUCAGGAAAAUACAUGCAAUCAACUUCAGUUAUGGUGCCACAGCUUUCAAAAUAACUUCGAAUAUCAUCCUCGGUUGAAUAAUAAGGAAUUCCUCCAACAUAAACCUUUGUAGGAACAUCACCAUUGUCUUGACUGAAUACACAUCACAGAACACAAACAUUAUAAAACAAAAAUCCCACUCAUAUGAAACAGCGUUAUUCAUGAUGUCAUAAUUUUAUUAUAACCUGGUAGUUGUAUUGGUCUUGGUUAACUCUGUAGCCUCAGGCACUUCCCCUCCACCAUUAGAACCAUUUUCCUCCGCGGUUUUGGGUUUUUUCUUGUUCUUCUUCAGCUUCUUCUUCUUCUUCUUCUUCUUGCUGUUUUUCUGUGGUGUGUUGUCGGGAACUUCGUUUGCCACGUCAUCUCCCUCUACCUUCCUCUUUCUCUUCUUGUUUUUCUUAUUGGCCGAACCCUCUAUUUCAGUUUCAGUUUCCUUGUUGGCUUCUUUUGGAGGAUGUUCGGAAGAUCGAAGCUUUCGGUGUUUGUCUCGCUUGGACAAUCUGGGUGUGGGGGUGGCAGCGUCCAAAAGAGAUUUGAGAGAGUUCGAAGAUGAAGGAACUUCGUUGAUAUUAUUCUGUUGUUGGGCCAAUUCAGCUCUGAGCUUAAGCUUCAGUUUCUUGUUUGAUAGAACCAUUUUCCCAGCCCCGGUUAUGGCUGCAACUCCACUCUCAAACCCUCGACACAGAAUCACAAACAAAAGGGUUUUGGGGAAGACGCAGCAAACGACGCCGUAAACUCGGAGGGUAUAUUUGAAAAAGGCUUUUGUUUUUGGGCUUAGGAAAGCCCACGAGUUACUUGUUUGAGCCUUCAGCAAAAGCCAUUAGUUAUUCCUUCCUGCACCCCUACAAUUACUAAUUACAACCCACACUUACAUAUUAUAUACAUUCUGUAAAACUUACUCUAAAAUCUUGUUUCGAAACAAAUUUCAUACAUUUUUAAAACCUGAAAAGCUUAUUUUAAAACAUUUUUUAAGCAAAUAGUGAUUUUGAAAAGUAAAAUGGUUACUUUAAAAAUCCCGGAGGUUCAUAAAGAAAUUGUACAAGUGCAGAAAAACUUAAACCAUUUCGUAUUUGGACUAUAUUAUAAAAUGUGAAUUGUGCACAUCAAUUAUAAAGCAAGGAGAAUAUAAAUUAAUUUAAUGUUCAAUUUCUUAUAAAAAUACAUUACGAAUCAUUCAAUAUAGCUAUUAAAAAUUAAUAAUAAUGUUAUAUAACAAUAAAUAUUAAUUACUUAAUAUUAUAUAUUCAACCUCUAAGCCAUAAAACCCUGGAAACUGACUUUUGAUAUGAUUUUCCUUAUAUAGUAUCAGUGCAUCAAAAUAUCAAAGUCCCAUCUGAUGUCUCUAUCUUUGGAGGCUGUUCUCUGAUUAACUGAAUUAAUGUUUUUGCCACUGAAAUUUCAUCAGCUCUAUUUGCAAAUCCCGUAAACUUUAUCCCUCUCAGAUGUUCCAAUUUUGUAUAUUCAGUUGCUUGUGUUAAACUUGAUUUGGUCUCUUGAAUCGAAUAACUUGUAGAAUCAUUCUACAUUCAAACAGUGACAGAAAAAAAGAGUCAGAAAUUUAAGUUUAGACUAUAGCAAAACAAGAGCUUCAAUUGAUUUCAAUGCACAUCUACCGUCAGAAAAAGUUGCUCCAAGGCAGGGCAUAAUUUCAAAAAGGAGACCAAGACAUCGAUGCUGUUUUCAGCCUUAUGAUUGUGAAUCCACCAUAGCUCUCGUAUCUUAUAGAAUAUGAAGUUCCCAGUUGGAGAAAUCGAUGGCCAUAUCAAUGUCUACAAGAAAAAGGAAAACUUUCAGAGUUAUAGGUUGUGUGUACUAAAGAUGUAAUAUCCUAAAUCCAUGAACUGCUGUAUUAUAAUACACUGCUAAAUUCACUUGAUAGUUUUGUUAAACCAGCAAUACUUGAUAGAAAGAACAUAUGCAUACCUCAAAAGUCCAUUCACACAGAGUUAGAGUUUCACAAUUCUUUAUUGUUAACAGAGUAUGAUUGAAAUCUUGAGCCUUAAAAUCAGAACAGCUUGGUCCUUGUCUGAAAUCAAGCAUGGCAUGGCUCAGGUUGAAAUGAGAUUCUGGCCAAAUCCUUGGAAGAGGUCCGCUGUAUGUUAAAUUUUUAAGCUUAGAAGUUCUGAGAUGGAGAAACUUCAACUGGGGGCAGUCUAAUACGGUUAAUUUCUGGAGCUUUGAUUCAGACUCAAUGCAUAGAGACUGCAAGCCAGUGCACUCAACAAUCACCAACUUCUCAAGCUGCUCCAAAGUUGAAACGAUGGAGGAAGCCACCGAACUUGCCAAGUGACUCACCGCUUUCAAAUAGAGUGUUUUGACAAUGAAAGUGGGGUGAAAAGUGUGGUGUGUGAUGUGGUCCUUGUUGAGGAUGAACUGAAGUUCAUAGUUCCUCUCAAGGUGUUUGUUCUCACAGGGGAAAUCAAGAAGAAGCUUGUUUUCAGCUGCAAUGGAUGCAAAGAGUGCAGUGUGUUGAGCAAAGUGAAAUUGAAGCUUGCGUGGAUGUUUUAGAGGAUCAUGGUCUUCAAAACGAGCCAGAAAUUGAGCAACAGCAGCAGCUACAUCUUGUAUGGUUCCAUGUCUGACAAGAACUUGGUUCCACAAGUCUCUCCACCUAGUAGAUAUGAGGCUGGUUUGUAGCGUUGAUUCAUUUGGCAGAAAAGAAACUAUGGACCUUAGAACUUCAUCUGGCAAAUUGCUGAAGACAUCCUCCAUGAGAAGGGAAAGUUGAAAGAUAAGGGUAGGUGACUAUGAGAUUACAAAACUCAGAAUUCAUGUGUUCAACUGAUGCAUCGGUCUGAGGACCAUCUUCAUGCGGUUAACGUUAUUUGUUAGAAUAAUAUUAAAUGUGAAAUAAUUCCUAUAUUUAAAACGGAUCUAUCAUACCAGCUCUACAGUACCAUUGUUAAAGAUACAUUUUUUAAAGUAAAAAUAAUCAUAAGAAUUAAAUUUUUGUAUUUAUAGAAAAAGAGAAUAAAAAGUAAUAAAAGACAACAUCAAAUAAAUUAAAAAAAUUUAUAUUUAUCAUUUUCUGUUUAUUAGACUGAAAUGGAUUUGAACGAGAUAAAUAGUGUGGGUCUGCUUAUUCCACAACCUCAUACUUUUUUCUUUCUUACUCUCUUAUAAAGCUAUUAUAUAUAUAUAUAUAUAUAUAUAUAUAUAUAUAUAUAUAUAUAUAUAUAUNNNNNNNNNNNNNNNNNNNNNNNNNNNNNNNNNNNNNNNNNNNNNNNNNNNNNNNNNNNNNNNNNNNNNNNNNNNNNNNNNNNNNNNNNNNNNNNNNNNNNNNNNNNNNNNNNNNNNNNNNNNNNNNNNNNNNNNNNNNNNNNNNNNNNNNNNNNNNNNNNNNNNNNNNNNNNNNNNNNNNNNNNNNNNNNNNNNNNNNNNNNNNNNNNNNNNNNNNNNNNNNNNNNNNNNNNNNNNNNNNNNNNNNNNNNNNNNNNNNNNNNNNNNNNNNNNNNNNNNNNNNNNNNNNNNNNNNNNNNNNNNNNNNNNNNNNNNNNNNNNNNNNNNNNNNNNNNNNNNNNNNNNNNNNNNNNNNNNNNNNNNNNNNNNNNNNNNNNNNNNNNNNNNNNNNNNNNNNNNNNNNNNNNNNNNNNNNNNNNNNNNNNNNNNNNNNNNNNNNNNNNNNNNNNNNNNNNNNNNNNNNNNNNNNNNNNNNNNNNNNNNNNNNNNNNNNNNNNNNNNNNNNNNNNNNNNNNNNNNNNNNNNNNNNNNNNNNNNNNNNNNNNNNNNNNNNNNNNNNNNNNNNNNNNNNNNNNNNNNNNNNNNNNNNNNNNNNNNNNNNNNNNNNNNNNNNNNNNNNNNNNNNNNNNNNNNNNNNNNNNNNNNNNNNNNNNNNNNNNNNNNNNNNNNNNNNNNNNNNNNNNNNNNNNNNNNNNNNNNNNNNNNNNNNNNNNNNNNNNNNNNNNNNNNNNNNNNNNNNNNNNNNNNNNNNNNNNNNNNNNNNNNNNNNNNNNNNNNNNNNNNNNNNNNNNNNNNNNNNNNNNNNNNNNNNNNNNNNNNNNNNNNNNNNNNNNNNNNNNNNNNNNNNNNNNNNNNNNNNNNNNNNNNNNNNNNNNNNNNNNNNNNNNNNNNNNNNNNNNNNNNNNNNNNNNNNNNNNNNNNNNNNNNNNNNNNNNNNNNNNNNNNNNNNNNNNNNNNNNNAUGACAGAGAAAAUAUUGGAAUGAAAGAGAUGAAAGAGAAAGGUUGAGAGGAAUGAGAGAGGUGGAAAAGAGAUUGGAGGUUUCUUUUUUUAUUUUUUUAAUUUUGAAAAUGAAAAUUAUUAAAAUACCCUUAACCUUAAAACUUAGAAUUCAUGAUAUAAGGGUAUUUUUGUCUACUGAAACCUGGUAUACAUUGCUAAAAUGUACCAACUGAAAAACAGACGUACGCAAGUUAGCAAACCCCUAUAUAUAUAUAUAUAUAUAUAUAUAUAUAUAUAUAUAUAUAUAUAUAUAUAUAUUUUGGUAUUCUUCACACUUUCUUUCUGUUCUUUUUCUUUUAUUUGUAAAUUUCUCUUUGAUUGUAAAAGAGUGACUUUGGUAAUACCUAAAAAAUAUCGACAAUGUUUGCAAUAGAAAAAAAAUGUGAAAAUAGCAACAGCCACAAAUUUUCAGAAGUACCCCGUUCAUGAUCAUGACUAUUUAUGGGCCAGCCCACCCACCCUACCUUAGCUAACUCUAAAUAAACAAUGGUCCCAAGGCUAUUUCUUUCAUCCUCUCAUAAUUACUAAUUGCAAUUCUAUAAUAAACAGAAAAGGACUGACAUUUUUUCACUAUUACACCAUACUAUUGUUUUUGUUGCCACUGUUUUUAUCAUCACUGCUACCGUAAAGAAAGAACAGAGGAAGAAGAAGAUAGGAAAAAUGCUUAAAAGAGAGAAAAUGUGAAAAAAAAAUUCUUCCGAAAAUUUCAUUCCAAAAAAGAUAAUGAUACUUUGAUAACAUUUUAACAUCGUCUACGUAUCAUUUUGUUGUUGGUUUAUGUUGAUGUUUAUAAUUAUUAUUAUUGAUUGUAGAGUAACUUUAGACCAAUCACGUAAUAACAAGUAGAUGAUAUUAAAAUGUUGUCAAAGUACCAUUGUUCUUAAAAAAACUUGUAAUUUGAGGGACCGGAACAGUGGAGGUGCAAGAAGUAAAAGUGAUUGUUCCAUUGUGGCAUUACGGGCAUUAUCCAUUGAGAGAUGUUUAGAGAAAAGGAGAAAGAAAAUGCUUGGUUGUGAUAUAAGGUCACAAGCAUAAAUUCUAUCAUACUGCAUACACUAUCUCAGAAGUGAAGCUCUAAACUACUGUCAAGUAUGGUACUUUCUUCAUGCUCUUUGACUUGGAUUUCACCCUCAUUCUCCCCUAAGGUCUGUCACACUAAUUCUUUCUAUUCAUAAACACAACCUUCUCUUCACACAGCUCACGUUCAUGCACUCUACUUUCCACUGUUUCAGCUAAACUUGCCACAUUCAAACUAUUUGCCUCGCAAUACUGAAAUUCCGUCUUCCAACAACACUGCCUUUUGUGCAUUGGAGACAAUACCCAGUGAAGAAAGUAAGAACUUUGUAAUAUUACUACUACAUCUAACAGUUGAAAUAUCAUUCCUCUUUUAUCUUUUAAAGAUAAAAUCGCAGUCAAUAACUUGAUGUAGGGUGAUUGAGCUUGAAGAUGUUGAAAAAACUUAUGGAAUGUCUUGUGUGAUUUUCAGGCCACUGCCAGAGAAGACCGCUAUUGCUGGGAAUUGGAGCUUUAACUGCAAAUUUGCAACUGACAAAUUUGGUAUUUGCUCAAGGUAUUCACGCCUGCUAAUGUGAUCAUAUUUUGUGUUACUAAGUUUCAUUUCACCAAAAGGGUCUUUUGUUAAACCAAGAGACUAGUCAUGACAUGGUCUUUUGCAUUACUCUUCGUCCUGUAGAAAAACCAGACAGAUACCAAGCUUUUGUGGACUACGAAGAUGGGUAUUCUUACGUAUAUCCCAGAGAGUGGAAGGUAAGAAAUGAGAACCACGUUAAUCUUAUCAGAAACUCUAGUCACAACCAUAUAAUUUCCUGCAAGUUUGAAUGUCUCGUCUCCCUAGGAAUUUGACUUUUUGGCUCAUGAUUCUGCCUUCAAAGACAAAGUCCUACAGUUACAGAAUGUAAGGGUGAGAUUUAUACCAACAGAGAAGAAAGACGUCCGAGAUUUGGGUCCUAUGGAAGAGGUGAUGCUGGAAAACUGUGUUCUGAUGUUUUUUGUGAACUCUGCAGUCUACUUUGUACUAAACCAGUUUGCAUCUGAAUCAGGUAGUAUACUAUUUGGUGAAGCAUAGAUAUGCUGCACCAAACCAAAGGCCAACAAUAAAUGGCAUGGAGGAGGUUUCUACUUUAUUAAUUUCUUGACAAUGCUUUUUUGUAUUAGAUAUGUAUCUAAGAUUUUGAUGGUCAUCAGUGAAAUAACAACUAUUUUUGACUUGUGAAUGCAGCGAACCAUAGAUGGAAAACAUUACUAUACCUUUGAAUACAUACUUACAUCACCAAACUAUGCUAGUGGCUCUUUUGCAACAAUUGCCAUAGGAAAUGGUGAGUAACCUGGCAUGGCGGCUAUCUGAAUAUGUGACCUUCGUAGGGUUAUAUACCUAACAAAGAAGGUGCACCUUUUGCAGGAAGGUACUACACGUUAAUUGUGGGAGCCAACGAAAGGCGAUGGAAAAGAGUACGAGAUGAGCUUAAAGUAGUGGCAGAGUCUUUUAGGCUUCUUGACAUAUAAAAUGUCAUGGGACAAUGCAACCAAGACUUGUUUAAAUAUGCCUACUGUUUUUUAAUAUUUGUAUAUCAGUAAAUAUUUAAUACCAAUACUAAUUGUAUUCUUUAUAGCAUUGAUUAAUACCAAUAAGACGAUAACGGAGCGUAGGACACGUGUUAUGUGGUGUGCAAACAAACCUAAUUUGUUCCUCUUCUCUCUUUAUAAUUAGGAUUUAGGAGUAAAAAAUAUGUUGUUAUUUAAGAUAAAAACUACAUUAUCGUAAACCCUGAAUUUUAGGAAUUGGAUUUGACUGGUUCAAAUAUUUUUGUGAAGGUUGUUAGCAUUUCUUACUGUAUAAACAUUACGUACAGAAAAACAAGGAGAAAAGACUUCAUCUUUCCUUCUUAAAAUUCUGCUACUCGAAUAUAAACAUUGCGAAAGAUUCAUGUUUAAUAGUUUUAAGUAUCUUUCCCUAUAUAAUAUCGAGCCAGAGGAUUUGCUGCCGGGAGAACGUAUCAUAAUUUAAAGUUUCUUUGUGGACAAAAGGUGCGCUUCAAUCUAGACUUUUUCUGAACCUUUCUUCUAAAUAUAUUCUUCAUCUUUUAUGAUUAUUUGGUGGCUUUAAUAAUUAUGCAUUGUUCGUAAUUGUUUUCUUCGAAGAAUUGUUUCUUUUUCUUCUGUACCAAUUAUGUGAAACAUUUUGGUAUUCUCUUUUCGGGUUUUUGUAUUUUUUUUUUUAUCUAGCAUCGUCAGAAUGACAAUUUUUUUGUUACCCAGUGAUCUCCUUGGGACUGUGCCCGUUGGAUGUCUUGGAAUUCUUUGAGGAACGGGGAAGAAAAAUCUCCAAGUAGAUUUGGGGUGACAAAUAAUACGAUAAAAAAAAACUGUUAGGGAAAUUAUUGGACCAAUUACAUAGUAUAACUAUUGGAAGAAAUAAAACCAUAUCUAACAAAUUAUGGACAUCACGUUGGUGGGAGGAAAGAACCCUAAAUACAAUUACAAAGAAUCAUGAGUUCUCACGAAAUGUAGAACCGAAGAUUGGGUGUGAAGCAGUUCCUUAAAAGCUAUGUAAACCCUCACAUGGAAUAAUGUAGUGUCAUUCUCCACUCAUUUGUCUAUAUAUAAGCUCAUUAGUUCAAAACAAAAAUAGAAAUUAAUUAAGAUAAACAACUAUAACAAUGUAUCAAACUAGUUGGUAAAAAUACACGUGGAAAUUGGCAUCUAUAAUUAUCUAAGGACAAAAAAACUAGAGAACUCGUGUAAUUCAAGCACUAAAAGGAACUGCUUCUAAACUAUGGCUAUGUAUAUACAGAGGUUUUACAACAACACUUGAGACUGUAUAUUCUACAAUUUUCACUAAAGUAGAAGAAAAAAUACAGGAGUGAACAAGAUGACGAUCCACGCUUGAGAGACUGGAAGAGUGAAAAGGAAGUCCAAUAGAAUAGAAGAGUAACUCGGCUGAAUUAGAGUUGAUGCCGCCGCCUUCCUCUCGUUGUAAAACAAAAUGAAUAUGCCGUGGAGACAACACCUUGGGUCAGCCUAAACUUCUUGCCUCCAAAAGAAUACGGAUACACAACCGACCGAAUCCCAGCUUCCUGCAUUCAAAUCCUACACUAUCCCUGCCACAGCACCCUCUUCCUAUGCCUAUCAAUGCCUGAGUGCUGAUCCCAUACUCCCAUUAUUGCUACAUGCAAGCCUCCACCUGACAUUGGAAGAUUCCAUCAGGUGCUGCAAUCACCAGUCAUUCAACUCAAGUAGUUUAUGAAACAAUUCUCAUGAACCAACAUUAGCUGCAACUACUCACAUUGCAUACUCCCAUUCUAAACAAGCCGAUGCUGACGCAAAGCCUUACCAAAAUGAGGUUGCAUCAAUCGGACAUACAGACCAUUUUUUGCCACCAAUGAAUCAUGUGUCCCCUCCUCCACUAUCCUUCCUCCAUUUAGAACUACUAUGUUGUCCACGUGCCUCAUCAUUGCAGCUCUGUGUGCUAUUAAAAUAGUGGUUUUGUUUCCCAUUACUAGGGUGUCUAGAGCCUCUUGCACCACUCGGCUUGACUCAGAUUCAAUUGAUGAACUAGCUUCAUCCAGCAACAGAAUAGGAGCAUUUUUAAGAAUUACCCUUGCAAUUGCAAUUCUCUGUUUUUGUCCAGGGGUUAAGUCAACACCUCUCAUCCCAACAUGAGUGUCAUAACCAUGAGGCAAACUACUGAUGAAGUGAUGAGCAUUUGCUAUUCUUGCAGCCUCCUUUAUUUCAGCUUCACUGGCAUUAUGCCUGGCAUAUAUGAUGUUUUCCCUUAUGGUUGUUGAGAAAAUAAUUGGUUCCUGCUGAACCAGACCAAGGUGGCUCCUCAACCAUCUCAAAUUAUAUUGCUUUAAAUCCCUUCCAUCUAGCAAAACUUGGCCAGAAACUGGAUCAUAGAAUCUCUCGAUCAAAGAUAUUAUUGUGCUCUUCCCUGACCCCGAAACUCCCACUACAGCAAUUGUUUGCCCUCCAUUGACUUUGAGGCUAAAAUUGCUUAAUACCAACACUUCUGGCCGGGAAGGAUAACAAAAAUCAACAUUUUUCAACUCAAUGCUCCCAUAUACAUUGGGUGGCUUCAUUGCUUUGUUAUCAUCAGGAUCAAUCUUAGGCACACGAUCUAUAAUUUCAAACACUGAUAUGAGAGAUUUACGUCGCUUAAGUAUGUAAGGAGCCAACCCAAAAGGCUCCACAAGGGCAAAUGUAGCAAAUGAGAAAACCAUGUAUUCCUUGAGAGCAGUAGGUGUAUCCACAUAUUUCUUAUUAACACAAAUUGCAGUGUACCAAAGUAGAAGGGCAUUACAUGCAAAGAGCAGAAACUGUGAAAAGCCAAAUGCAAAACCAAUGGCCACUCCAUGAAGAAAGCUUUGCUUAAAUAUUUUAUUUAACUGCAACUGGUAGAGUUCCAUCACCUUAUUACCAGCACAAAAUGCAACAACAGUGUAAAUAUUCCUAACUGCGUCUUCAAGAACCAAGGAUGCCUUUCUGUGCAUUUCUUGUAUGCCCUUUGAAAAUCCAGCAAGCCACAAUUUCUGCAACAUUAAGGAGACUGCUUAACACAUGCAUCAUGCUAACCACAAGCAAAUUAAUAAAAAGAUCUUUAUCCAUAGCCAGUAUUAUCAUCAGUCAUUCACAAAAGUCAGCAAAAGCAGGUCUGUUAGCUAUAAUUAUUGAAAUUAAACAUAAAUCGACAUAAAUAAGAAUUUCCAUGAAUGAAAAUGAAACCCCCAUAAAGAGGUAUAAGUAGCAUUCAAUAAUGGUACUCUCGAUCCUCCAAAGACACUGUCAAAUUACACUAAUUACAGCCCAUUGAUUACUCAAGCACAAACAGAUACAUUACAAAUUAUAAUUGAAAUUACCCCAAUGGUUAUCCCAAUAGCACAGAUAAUUCCAAUAUAAAACUUCUUAAAGCAAUCACAAUUAAAUGUGCUUUAGUUUUCAGUAUUCAACGAAAUGCAUGAAACAUUGUUUUUAAUUUCACAGUGAAAUAUACACAAAUGAAUAAUACAAAAGAGGGUGAUAGAGAUAUAAACUGAUACACAAAGUGAAACAUUGUUAUUUUUCCUUUUAUUAGCAAGUCUUGCACAUACAGACCCCAAGGCAUAUCAUGGUUUUUGGAUUUGUUCUGGUAGUCUCACGACAUUCAUGAGGCAAAGGAGACAUUACAUUAAUUGGUCAUGAUCACUACCAAUUAUUCAACUAACUUCCCUAAUAAUCAUCACAGUAAAUGUGAAAAAAGAUAACAGACCAACCCACCACCUUGUGCAAAAACACAUGGCUGUUGUUGAUAUGAAAGGAUGUGGAAAAUAUGAAUUUCAAAAUAAAUAUUUUUUUUAAAGACUGUUGACAUGAAAAUGAAAUACAACCUCAAUCCAACAAUCUGACAAAAUUACAUGGCAAAAUCAGAAAAGCAGUUGCUAACCUGGGCAACAGCAGAAACACAAAGAAUCGGAAGUGUUGCUAAAGCCACAAGUGCUAAUCGCCAGUGCAGCAAAACACCAAUGAGAAAUGCAACAAUAACUGCAGCACUGUCCUGUAUAAAUAUGGAAAGGCGGUUACUGAAAGCUGCUCGCACAAAUGUAGCAUCAUUGGCCAAGCGUAUUGAUAGGUUGUCAGCACUAUUUUCCUCUUCAUCAAACCAUCCAGUUUCAUUGCGAAGCAUGGCUGCAAUGUUAUUAAAACAGGUUAAGUAUAGGGCAUAAGUCCAAUAUGUUUUUCUUCUAAAUAAUAACAAUUCAAAUUUACGCACCUGAGAACAUCAUUCUCCUAACUCUUUCUGUCAUUUUCUCCCCCAUAAUACCAAAGUAGAAAUGCUGUAAAAAGUUAGCAACAACCGUCACAAUACCCAUGCAGGCAAUGAUCAAGCACCAUUUGUCUAUCUCCCUUUGGAAGUGAUGUUCUUCAUCAAUUUUAUAGUAAUCUGUCACCACCAGACCAAUAACAUAGGCAAGAAGGGGAUUGAAAGAACCAAAGAUAGCAGCACCUGUGCUUCCUAACACAGCAUAAAGCCACUCUGCAAAACUAAGUUCUGCUAGCCUCCAUAUUGAGGGUUGUUUUCGAUGCCUCGCAUCCUUUGUUUCAGUCAUUUUCACCGAAAGAUCACCAGAAUGACUAUCAGGCCUGCUAAAAGUCUGUGAAUGGGAGCGUUCAUUUUUAGGAUCAGAUGUUAAAAGAGGUGAAACAGGGGAUUCUGGGUCAGAACCAUUUGACUUUUGUCUAUGCACACAUUGAACAUCAAUCUUGGGUAACUCUGGUAGUCUCAUUUCAAAACUAUCCUGCCUUUUAAUUGAUGGCUCCUUGUCUGUUGAAUCUCCAUUUUCCAUCAUCUUCUCUGAUGGUGGGCUCCGAAUUUUUGGUGAUUCUUGUGAAUUAAAAAAGCCAUCCGAAGGCCGAAAAAUGGCAGAAACUCUUUGAAGAGAGGGUGACUUUAUCAUUUUAGGAGAUGAAGGUUCUUUGAAGCUGUGACUUUCUGAAGAAUCCUUCUCAAUUUGGAAAGUUGCAGUCUCCUUAUAGUUUCGAACUGGCAUCCUGGAUGACAAGAAAAAGUGAUUUUUCAUCAAGCAAAUGACGAAAUCUUGCAAAUUAUAAAAAAACAGUGAACUCAACCAUUGUGUAACAAUUAUUAGUUUAUUAUUAUAGUAAAACAUUAACAGACUUAUGGUCACCUUAACAGUCACAAUAUCUAUAUCUUAAAAGUCAUGUUAUAUUCUUCACAAACAUAAAAAAGUCCGUGGCAAAAGUUGAACCGUGAUUUGAGGUGGUAACAAACCUCUUGGGAAGUUUUGUGGCUUCUUCACAUCGAAGAAGCUCUGCAUAUAAGCCGUCCAGGGUCAGUAACUCAUCAUGUGUACCCAUUUCAACAAGUUGACCAUCCUCCAUGACAGCUAUAUAAUCAGCAUUCUUUAUAAGACUAAGCCUUCGAGCAAUUAUUAUCGUUGAGCGUCCCAACAUUAGCAGGUCCAGAGCUUCCUGAACAGACCUCUCAGCCUCAAAAUCAAGUCCGCCAGUAACCUCGUCAAGAAGAAGAAUGGAUGGAUUUAAAAGCACAGCUCUUGCAAUAGAAAGCUUUAUUUUCUGCUCUUCUGUUAAAGCUAGACCUGCCCUGCCAACCUGAAAAGACAGAACCCUGGUUUAGGAGGUGAAAAGAGAUUCCAACCAAAAAGAACAUAAUUGAAAUACAUAGGUUUCAUCCAAAACAACAUAGGUUUGAUACAAUCAUUUACAUCAAGUUUCACCUGUGUGUCAUAACCUUUAUCUAAUGAGCUGAUAAAGGUAUGUGCAUGAGCUAUUUUAGCAGCCUCUUCAAUUUGAUCCAUGGUAGUAUCUCUGCCAUAAGCAAUGUUGUCUCUUAUACUCAAACUGAGUAAAGCAGGUUCCUGGGUGACCAGUCCUAUCUGACUCCUUAACCAUUCCAGUUUCAUAUUCUUUAUAUUUUCACCAUCUAAAAGAACUUCCCCUGAACCAAAGAUAGGUAAAUUUAUUUAAAUGAGUUGACCUAUAAAGUGUUUUAGAUGUGAUAUAGAAUAAAUUUGCACCAACAACGGGAAAAAAGUACCUAAAGUUGGAUCAUAGAAUCGCUCCAUAAGGGGAAUAAUACUACUUUUACCAGAGCCAUUUCUUCCAACAAGUGCCACAGUCUUUUUAGCAGGAACAGUGAGAUAAAACCCACUCAAGAUAGGGAUUUCAGGGCGAGAAAGAUAACUGAAGUAUACAUUCCGAAACUCUAUAUUUCCUUGCACAGAAGCUGGAGCACUGCCAUCGUGAUUAAAAGAUGAGGAUGACCGGCUAAUCAUCUCAAAUAGUCUAUAGGCAGCUAUGCGCCCUUGAUCAAAUGAGUAGAAAUUUGUCGCUGCUUGAUUCAAUCCCCUUAAUCAUAUUAACAAAAACUGUAAGAACAAUGCAAAACAGAUAAAGAAAAAAUAUGAGUUGGGCAUGAUGCUCACAAGCCACUGAGAAUCACAGCAAACAGAGCUGUUAUAAUUUCACCACCAUGAGCUUUUCCAUGUAUAACCAGGAGCCUUCCAACCCAGAGUUGUAAUGCACAAGAACAUAUUGCAAGUCCAUAAGUAAAACCAAGGCCAAGCCCUUGAACAAGACUUAUCAAUAUACCAUAUCUAAGAGUAGCUUGUAGCGAUGUUGCAUAUGAAUAUUUAGACAAUGUUUCAUUUGUAAAUGCAUACAAGGUCCUUAUAUAGGAAACUGCCUGCAUCACAAGAAAAUAUACAUAUUCAGAACUGGUUGCUAAAACAAUUCAUCUAAUAAUGAGAACAUUACCUUUCUUCCCAUUUCAUCAAAUUCAAACCAUUAAAGCAAAAAUACAUAUAAAUGGACUGAUUCUCCAAACUUAAAGAUAAAUAAAGAAAACCAAGCAAUGGUAUUCAUUCACUUCCAACCACAAAAUAAACCUAAAAAAAAUUCCAUUUAUAAUCAACUAAAUGGCACUCAUGUGUAUAAUAUGUAAAUUCAAAACUAUUUGAGAUCUCACUUCGACUAAGAUAUGGUCAAAUUAUAAUAUAUAAGUCGGUACAAUCUUCACCUUACAAACCAGCUUUGUGAGGUUGAUUUAGACCUAAACCUACACUUUCUAAGAGACAACUAAUCCACAAUUACAAACAAUAAAUUACCAGCAAAAAUCAAGAAGCAUUUUACUUUAAGGAUACCAUUUAACAAAUUUGGGACUUAGUUUUCAAUUCCUAAUUGAAGGAACAAAGGAUAGGAGAUUUGUGCUCAACAUGUCAUAGUCAGAAAAGCAGAGCAUUCAGCAUUGCAAUAUUUGGUUGCAGCAGAAUGCUGGCAUAUUUUAGGGUGUUUGUGUGGCUUUAAAUGUGUUAAAGUAUGUUCAUGACUUCUGUUUGGCAUUAUGCUCAUGUCUGCUUGAAGGAAGUUGCAAAUAUGCCAAAAGAUAGGGUGAUCUUUCUGCAAUACAGUUUUCCUUUUAGAAGAAUAUCUUAUCAAUCCCCCUAGUUGUAUUUUUUCUCUUUUCUUUCUGACAAGUUCUAUUUCAAUCAAAACAUGGAUACCAUAUGACCACAGCAAGUUUCAUUUACAUAACAUGGUAAGAAAGGCAUAAAAUUUGAUUAAAUCAAAGACCUCUUCACAGCCCAAAUUGAAAUACAUAUACUGGAUGAUAGUAAAAGGAAAGAUAUACAGUCACAUACAUGAUACGAGAAACUUUCAGACAAUAAAUCCUUUCUUUCUUUCGGUGGUUAGUAAAAUAUUAAGAUUAAAAUCAAUUGAAAUCCACACCUGAAUUGAAUAUGUGUGUGUGUGUCAGUGUACAUAACAAUCAAUGGUUCAAUGCAAGAAUGAAGUCAAGCUUAACUACAAAUAACCUGUUCAGCAAUGCUGGCUGCUUCAGCAUAUGCAUCUUGAAUAUUCUCGGCAAGCCUGUGGAGGAAUAUAUUUGAUAUUCCUCCUGCAGCAACAAUAAAUGGACCUGUAGCUAAUGUUAUCAAUGCAAUCUGCCAACAAUUGAUAAAAGCAAUAACAAGACCACUGAAGAAUGUUGCCAUAUUAUGAAUAUAAUUCCCAACCUGUAUCAUCAAAAAUCAAUACACACAGUAUAAAAUAUGCGUUGAGAUUUUUCUGGAAAGAAUAGCAAAUUUACAGAGGAGUGAAUACUGAAUAUACACACAAGAGCACCACGAACCUUUUCACUAAGAGCAGACUGAAUGAGCAGCACAUCACUUAAUACUUGACUCACAAUGUCUCCAUUAUUUCCAUAAGUAUCAAAAAAACUCAUAUCUUGGUUAAGUAAUACUUGGACAUAUUUUGAUCUGAUCACAGCAGUCUGCCGUUCUCCAGUAAGAAUCCAACACGAAACCUCUAUUAAUCAAGAAAGAUUAGUAUUGAACGAAACUUAAAUGUAACAUCUAAUAAGAAAUAUUCCUUGUAUUAACUUACCAAUCCAACCAGCAGCAAAAACUCCACCAGCAAUAUAAACAAUGGUUAAAGCAAGCUGUAGAAAAAAAACAUAGGUAAAUAAGCAUACACGUCCAUUUUUCAAAUCUUGUUUACAAACUAUGCACCUUGACAAAUAAUUAAAUUCCUAGUUAUGAAGUCAUGUGGUUCAACUACUAAAUUAACCAGUUCAAAAAUGGACAGCCAUACUCUUCAGAUCCUUGGUGGAAACUGAUUUAAAACAAAAUUUUGAAAUUUUGUUAAAUUUUGAAAUUUUCUAUGCAAGGUCAACUUUGCAAAUUUUCUAAGGUUAAAUUCAAGCUUAGCUUGAUUUUUAGAAAUUCCUUAUCCAAGGAGGAUAAAUCAUAUCCAUCCUAUUUAAAAAGGGCUAACGUUUUUCCACUUAAUAGAACAACUGUAUUUAUAGCACCUGAAAAGAAAAAUGACUGAUCAGAUUUAUGAAUAUAAGGAAGAAAUUGUUCCCUUCUAAGUUGCGUGCCUUUGUAUUGUUAUGCAACCAAACCCUAGGUGAAAGGCCUGUUUUAUAGCCUUAUGCUUAUUACCUAUUGUUCAACUUACUAAAGUUUUGCUCUUCACCCAAGACUUAAUUUCCUUGACAAAUAGAAACAAAAGUUCAUCCCAUCAAUAUCCUGAGUAAUCCUUGUUUGACACCAAAGCCAUUAUUGAUACCUUGUACAAAAAGGUUACUGUUCAAAGCUUACAAAUAUCCAGAGAACUAUCCCUUAAAUCCCUUCCUAUGCCAAAAAUUUGCCCUGCCUUUAACAUAACCCCAGAAACUCCAAUCAACAACAAUCUAUGUAAACAUGAGAUGAGAGGGAAGAGAUUUUUUAAAUAGUAGCUUUAGCUCUCAAAUUCAACCAGUAAGUGAGUGACCUUCUCAUGGAGAAUCUUAUCGGUCAUCAGGUGGACAAACCAGGCUCUACUUCGCCACCCAUAUAAAUCUGUUUAUAUUCCCACUGUCCUCAUUUUCUUAACAACUUUUCUCAUGCUAGACAAAUAAACUUCUACCGUCACUUUUUAAAUGAUUAAGUAAUGAAAUCGUUGCUACCUAACCCCGCAAACAAAGUAAAUUUAUAACUACAGAAAGAUAGGCUAAAACAUAUUUGAAACACGGGGUUAAUUCCGAGGACACUUGUGCCAAAUUGCCAAUGCUGAGUUUGGAACCCUAAACAGAGUGUCAUAGUGCCCCUGAUGACUUGGGUGAUCCAUCCACGAACUACUCUGAGCAGGACAAUAAACCCUUACAGAAAGGGAAUAAACUUAUAACGGAGAAAUGAGGGAAGGGCUACACUAUCCCUUACUUAGGGUAGUCAGGUCAGCUUUUAACGAAAGUUAAUUGCUCAAUUACCUCAAACUGCACGGCAACCAUGGAGAUAAAAACUACAAAAAACUAAUAGCACAGUACACGAGACUUAAUUUCACUGCCUAAGGUAAGCGGAAUCAAAUUCUUAGAAACUAACUAAAAUCCAGAAGCUGCGCACAACAACAACUAGGGUUUCGAUAGAAAACGAAACGAAACCGAACCUCCUUGAACCUCUGAAUCUGAUCUUCCGCCGAAAACUGCUGAGGAACCCAGAGAACCUUGGCGAAGUAAUGCAAGUAAACGACGAGAGCGGUGCCGUGCGCGGCGGCGGCGAGGGAGCCGACGAUCAUGAGAAACCAGUCGAGGCGGUCGGCGCAGGCGAAGAGGUGAGAGAAGGGAACGGCUGCGGGCGGCGGCUCAAUCUCUUCAGCCUCCUCCAUCUCUUCCUCGACCUCCAUCGGCUGCGAAGCGGAGGUCUCGGCCCCGAGGUCCAGAUACGGCGACGGCGACUCCGGCGGCUCCGAAACCUCGGAUACCGGCGUGAGAGGCUGUAUAUGUGGCGGGGACCACCCGAACAGCCCCCGAGAAACCAUCAUAUCCGAUCUCAGCAGCCCCAGCUACUAACUCGCUGCGAUGAAGAAUAGAGAAACAGAUCGCAAGCGAAUUCAGAGCGCCAGCUCCUUUCUCUCUUCUGUUGAGGAAACGACGACGUAUUGAACGCCGUCGAGGUGGUUGUGAGUUGCGAGGUGGCGGCGUGUGGUUUGACUCGGUCAAAAAAGAGGUACAACACCUUAAUCUCUUCCUUUUAAGUUUACGACCCUUCUUCGAUUCUUCUUCUUCUUCUUCGGCUUUGCUUUCUGUUUUUUCUUUUUUGUUUUUUUUUUAAUUGGGGUUUUGUUUUGAAGCAAAUAAUAAUAAUAAUAAUAAUAGAAGAAUAAUAAUAAUAAUAAUAAGAUUACAGCGAGGUUGUGCUGUGAAAUUGUGAAGGCAUGCAUGCAGCAGAGCUGGAAAAAAUAAAGAGAGGGUGUUUUGGUAAAUUCCCCGGCUAUGAUGGCGUUGGUAAAUGUGUUCCCAGCUGGAUCCUAUGCCAUGAAAUUACGAUGAAGUCCUUGCUAGAGACGUUAGAGUGACACGCGUUAGAUGCUGGUAUGCGUCUUCUUCUUUAAUAAUUGCUUUAAUAUAUAAAUUAUACAAAUUUGUUAGCAAAAUGAAUUAAAAAAUGGAGAGGCUUUGUUUCAGGUAAGAGCGUGCGUGAUUGAUGAAAAGUGAUUUCCUCUUAUUCAACCAAAUACUUUAUUAUAUAUAUAUAUAUAUAGCAAGUUAAAAUUUAAAAAUAUACUAUAUACUAUGCUCACAUUUUUGCGUAUUUAACUUUUUUUCUUAGAGAUUCCGAGUUUUGCUAAAAGGGAUUCAAAAGUUUCCUUUUUCGUACAAAACUAGCAAAGUUAACAAAUUUGCCCAUGGUAUUUGGUACAUACUUACAUCCACCCUUGUUAAAGAUGAAAGAAAUGUAAAAUGCUUCUUAUUUUCAAAAUAAAUAAGAACAAAACUGCAUACACGAAAAUAGGAAUUGUAUUUUCAUAACUACUGUCAAAAUCCCACAUAACCUUUUUCAAGUAAAAUUUUGUUUUAGAUCAAUAUAUUUAAACAAAAUACAAAAUAAUUAAAAACUCGUUCACUGCAAACUUAAUAAGAUUCAGAGUGGAGUAAAUACUUUGGCAUUAAAUAUGUGUUCACGGAAAUAUUUAUAAUAAAGUAUGAUUAAAAUUGAAAAUUGAAUUUUAAACUAUGUAACAGAGACAUUUAAGUUUAUUAUUCUAGAAGUUAAAGUAAAUUACAAUAUAAUUUUUACCACAAAGCUAUUAAAUUCCAAUAUAAUUUUUACCACAAAGCUACAGCCAAAAUCACACAUAAUAUAAAGAAGUUGAGUGAGUGCCGCAAAAUUAUUUGGAGAGAUUUAAAUGGACACGAAAAUAAAAAUUGACACCCAUGAACCACAACACUAUUUUCCUCACAUUACGAAAAGCACAUAAACAUAAUGUUGCCAAAAACAUACAAACCAAAAUGUAAAACAAUGAAAACUUAUUUUUUAAGGAAAGACGGUUCUUGAUAAAAACACUUGUAAACACCAUUGGAGAAGCCUUCAGCAGAUCCCCACCCUUAAAUAAAAUAAAAAACAUGAACCAGAAAUCUAAACUUUUCACAAUUUACCUAACCAAUUUAUGAUAUAAAAUGAUGAAUGAGGAAUGAAAGAAAUAUUAUGAAAUUUGCAUAUAAUAAAAAAAAUCCAUAUUCCCUUGGUUGAAUUUGUGAAACCAACAUCUCUUAACAAAAAAAAAAAACUCAUAUUCGAAACUCUCAACACAUUAAAUACUCAAAUGUCAAUUUAUGUUUAACCAACACUGAUUUUUUACAGCUCUUAACUUUAAGAUGAGUUUGGGAUUUGAAUCAGGUUUUUUUUUACGUAUAAUAUAUAUAUAUAUAUAUAUAUAUAUAUAUAUAUAUAUAUAUAUAUAUAUAUUAUAGUUUGAAAUGAUAUAUGAAAAAUUUUAUAUCGAUUAAAAAAGAUAAAUUUAAAAUAUUUAAAAAAUAUAUAAAUAAUUUUUUAAAUUGAUUUUAUAAAGAUUUAAAAAUCACUUAUGAGAUAUUUUCAAUAAAUAUUUAAGAAUGUAUGAACCAUAAAAAAAGACCACAAUUCCAUGCAUUGGAUAUUGACUUAAAAUAAGAUAUUAAGUAUAGUGUAUGAAACACUGAGCCUAAGAAUGAUUCAUGAGAAAAACAUCAGUCAAAACCGUAUUUGACUGUAGAUAAGCCUUCAGAAGAUUCACACCCUAUAGAAUAGGAAGAAAAUAAAAUUAAUGAAUCAUGAUCCAUUGUUAGUUAAAAAAAGAAAAAAACUCCAACAUAUUUGUAAGAGAUUCACUAGUGUAAAAACGUUGUUGAACGUCACUCCAUAGAUGUCGGUUAUUUGGUUCACUGAUGUAACACGAUGACCAGUGGCAACUUUGUAAAUAAGUGGGGCACAUGGACGUCAGGGCUCGAUAUACCCAAUGAGUAAAAAAUUAUAUACGUCGAGGAUCUUAAACAGAGACAUCUAAAUGUCUACCAGGUAGGUGAAAAGUUGAGAUAUAAACGUUGGGGUGAGGACAAUGCGACGUCUAAAGGUCUCAGAGGUUGGUGAACAGUCACGAGUUAGACGUCCAGUAACACUCAUAAACGUCUCUAACCUGACAGGUAGUUGAGUGUCAUUAAUGGUAUGCAACAUAGACGUCGGUGUCACUCCUAACCGACGUAUAUAGCCUGACAGUUAGGUGAAACUGUAAUAAUUAUUCUGCAAUCUAGACGUCGGUUACCAGGUAACGUACGUCUAUGUCCAAUUAGACGUCAGGUGCACAUAGAGCUGACGUCUAUAAUCCACGUCAAUAUUAAUAUUUAAAUCAUAAAGACGUCAAAUUAGUGAGAGGACUGACGUCUGUAACAUUAUAGACGUCGAGCUCGAUGGCGAACCGACGUUUAUAUCAACUUAUACUUCAAAACGCGAACCCGCAAGCAAUUACCACUAUCCAUCGUCUUCUUCGUCGAGCUUUUCUCUGCCGCGACAUUAUAUUGGAGGUUCGUUUUCUUUGUUUUUGACCGUUUAAAUUUAGUUUUGCUUCGAUUGAAUUAGUCUUCGAUGAAAAAUCUUUCAUUUGAACCAAUUAAAAUUAGAUUUGGUUGCAUUUUGUUGCAGUUUCUGGUGUCGUGUUGGGUUGUGUUUUGGACUGCUUUUCUGACCUAUAAUUGGGUGUACACUACUUCAUCUCCCUCAAUUGGUUAUAUAUAAUAUGCUAAAAAUGUUAGCUUGUUUGUUGAAAACUUAAUUUGUAUGAAUAUUAUUGGCUUUUGUGUAUGCAUGUCGGCAUUAGUGAAUUUGCAUUAGUUGUGUUAUUAUAAUUGGCAUACAUUAGUAUCAAAUCACCGAGUAAUACUUAGUUCCCGUUGGAUUUAACACAAACGAUUAAUCUUUUAAUCGUUUGGAAAAAUUAUUUUUAAUAAAUUUGAUGUAACAUGUUGUCAACACCAAAUUUCGUCCGAUAUCUAAACAAUAUAUGUUUUUUGUUUUACUUUUUACUUUAUUUUGUCUUUUUAUCAUUUUAUUUUUUUUAUUAUGUUAUAUUUUAUUAUUUAGAGUUAUUUCAUUUUUAUUUUAUUUUUUUACGUUGGUUUCUUUUUGCUGUUUAGUUUUAUUUUUAUAUUUUUUAUUAUUAUUAAUUUUUUUAAUUUUUUGUUGUAAACGUUGACAAAAGAAAACAAAAAAAAGGUUUUAAAAAAAAAGAAAAAAAAGAAAUCGUAACAGGAAUAGCAGACUGGUGCUUCUCCCCAUUCUGAGUCCAGGCAAUCACGAGUUGAGCUCUAUUCUCUGCAACGUACGACCUCCCUCCUGCAACAGAGGCGUAGCUGCAACCAGAUCAUGGGAGAUACGCCCAGAUCAUUCUGAAAAGCAGGGAAGAUACGCCGAGAUCAUUCUGAAAAGCAGGAAAGAUACGCCGAGAUCAUUCUGAAAAACAGGGAAAAAGGGCUUGGAGGGUCAUGGAGGAGAUCAAAAACACUAGCUUGGAGGGCUGCCUGGGAACUUCAGCAAAAAAAACACACAAUAUCAAAAAAGAGAGGAGACCUUACGGCCAGAAGGAGAACCAUUUGCUUCCAACCUAGCUUUCCAACGCCUGCAAGAAUAUUUUCAGCAAUCCAAAGAAUAUUCGGUCUAAGGGAACAGAGAGAGCAGAACCAAAAGGAAAGGUUUUGAAGCUGCGAAGGUGAGUCUUUGUAUACCUAAGCUCUGGUCACGCUCAUCCAUGUGCUCAUGAAUAUGCUUUCCUUGUGUGUUAGAUGAACGAAUGAUAUUUGAUUAGUGUAUAUAGUUGUGUCGGUUUAAUCUGUGAUAUCCUCUGUCAAUCAGGAAACUGCACCCAAAAUGCAAUUUCAAUGCUUGCAAAACCCACCAUAUUUAACUGACAAUAGGACAUAGUGCAUAUUCCCCAACAUCAAAACCUGAAUACCCUUCUACCUGCACCCAGAAAACACCAUAGAAAAAUGCAGCAAAAGGAAACUGAGGCAGAUGCAUUUCCAUAAUAGAAAACAUGGAAAACAAAAGCAGUUGUUCCCGCUAACAAACUAUGGGUCUCCUUCAAUCUGGGUAACAGCACACGCUGCAACUACCCUCAAUCUCGAGACCGCCUUCCACCUGAAACAAACAAACCAAAUAACAAAUCUGCCAUUUUAUUCAAGGUUUCCCCUUAAGGUUUCCCCACAUUCCUCUUUUCGGAGUAAAUGUCAACCGUUUCCCCAAUCCAUAGUUUCUUCUCGAAUGAGUUGAUAGCCGUUGGGCUGCUGAUUACUGCUAUACUAGUCGCACUCUAUCUGAACCUGCAAAGGGGAAAUGAUGCAAGUUGGGAGCGUUCACACCUUUAAUCACGAACCCAAGCCUGCAAACCAGUAUUUAGCAGACCACAUUCCAGAUUCCCACCAUCGAGGUUAAUGAUAGCAGAUAAACAACUUUGUUUCUGCCAUGGGAGAUAGUUAGUUGUAGCUGAGUGUUUUACCUUACUUAGUUGAGGGUCUGAGAGUAAGAGAAAGGAAGAGAGGGGUGAAGAAGGAAAUCGUGUUUGAGAGGAGGGUGACUCUUCAGGUGGCUGGCGGUGGUCGGUUUCGCCGGCGGCGUUCGGCGGAGGAGGGAGAGAGCUUCCCGCGUCGAACCGAAGAGAAGAAAAGGGUUCUCAUUGCUGGUGACUCACGGUGGCCGUGAGUUGGGACGGCGACCUGCGACGAUCUCGACGGCGAACGGUGGUCCCGGUGGCGCCCUGACCUGCGACCUGUGGUGGCCGGCGUCGUUUUCGAACAGGGGGAGUUCCUCCCUCGCACGCGGAAGAGAAGGGGGAUUUUGCUGCGUUGGAUGGUAGCUCCGGCGGCAAGUCGCAUCGCCGGCGCGACCCUGGUUCGUGGUCUGACAGGCGGCGACUGGGUACGGCGAGAAUGGAAGGCGAGUUCUCCUCUCGCAUACGAAAAGGGAGCAGGAAAGAAGAUCUGGCGCCGCGGCCAGCGGCGAUCCUGGUUGCCCUUGGGGCCGCCGGCGACGUCAUGGACCAGGCGGAGGGUAUUGUUGCGGUGGCCGUUUGUGCAGAGGCGGUGGCAACUGGAGCUGCUGGUGGCCGCGUGCGGAGGAGGCGCGUCUAUCCCUGGGUUGCGUUUGGAGGAGAGACCCUAAGUGUCUCUGGGUCUGCUGUGUGAAUGUGAGGCUUGGGAGAGAACCCGGGCUUGGGGCCAACUUUCUUUCCUUUUUUGGGUGUCUCUUCCUGCACCUCCAAGCAUUUCAUUUUCCACCUCAAAUUUCCUAAAAUACCCUUAAUUAAUAAAGUGAUUAUCUGUUAAUAAGCUUUUCACCUGCACCUCUGUUUCUGACUUAUUAAAAAACCCUGCACCCCAUCUUCUAUAGUAUGUCGGAUGUCCAUAUCCGAAAAGGAGUCUAUCGGAUAUUCAUAUCUGAUGUGUUCGUAAAACCAAUAUAAUUUCACUUUGAAAGCUUGUCUGUCUCGAGGAUUGAAUUCAGAUAAAUUCUAAAAACUAGUAGCUGUUGCGCUUAACAUCCUUGGCAUUUUGAAGAUGACAAUAAUUUGAUACAGAGAGCAGCUUACAAACUACACACCUGAAGCGUGUGUGGAAAUUGUUCCAUAAAAAGGCACGAUCUAAAAUCUCAGAGAUAUUGCCUGCCUUUCGGUAUUAUGAUUACUGCUUCCAGCUUUAAGUUGUUAUUCUAUAUCAAUAAUUAAUUAAUUAAUAUUAUUUAACAAUUUAGGUUUGUUUUAUAAAAAAGUUAAUUAUUAAAAUAUUUAAAUAAAUAUAAAUUAGUAAUAUUUCUUUAAAAAAAUUUACAAAUUAUAAAAAGUAAAACAUAAAAUAAUUGAAAACAACGAAACUUAAUAAAAAUAUAAAUAAUUAAUUAAUUUAAGCAUAAAAUUUAAGAAUUUAAAAUCUUAUUAACAAUUAAAAAAAUAAUAAUGACUUAAAAUUUAACCAUAACAUUUUUUUACAAAAAAAAAGAGUAAAACACUAAAAUAAAAUUAAAAACAAUAUGCAUAGGCUGGUGAAAGGUGAAAGGCCUGUUUCGGAUGUCGGUAUCAGAUGUAGUCGGUAUCGCUUAUGGACAUCCGAUACAGUUUUUUGCGCGUUUCAAAUUCGAUGCUUCGUCAAACAACCCAGAUCAAACACCCACAUACAGAUCAAACACUUCAAUCACCUUCUAAUCAUUCAAUGUACAUAUCAAUCAACAAUCAUGGAAAACACGAAAAAAAAUUUAAGAAAACGAAAAGCAAAAAUGGAGGAAGGAGACGGGUGGGAUGCACCAACGAAGAUGAAAAGGAAGUCGUGCCUCUGCAAAACAGACCAAAAAAAAGCACAAUCUGAAAUGUAAAAAUGAGGAAGAUGAAGUUGUUGCAGAAAAGAGAAACUGAACCUGUUUGCGUGAUGUUGUGCGAGAAGAAAGAGCUUGAGAUCUUUUGUGAGUUCGUGAGUGUUGUGCGAGUGAAAGGACAGCAAAUGGUGGUGCUGUGCGAGAGAAAGGAGACCAAGCUGCUGUGCGAGAGAGAAGAGAGAAAGGAAAGCAAAUGUGAGUGGUGCUGUGAGCAAAUGACAUCUGACACACACAAACCUGAAAAAAGAAUCUGAAACUCAAAAAGAAUUCAUGACUAUUCUUAACUAUUUCAACAAAAGUUAAUCCACAUUCUAAUUAGGGGCUAAACAGGUAUUUUAGUAAAGUUUGGAGGUGUUGAAGACGCAUGAAACACUCUUCCAUUAAUUAAGCCCAUUAAGUAAGAUGAAACACUCCCCAUUAAGUAAGAUGAAACAGGUAUUGUUUAUUUAUUUUUUUUAAAGAAAAAAGGAAGAUUGUUAAGGUGUAGGGUAUUUUUGGAAUAAAGAAAAUAGUGGGGAGGUAUAGAAUAUUUUUGAAAUAAAUUAAAUUAAUGGGGAGGUACAGGUCUUACUUGGGGAGGUGUAGGGAGUAACACCCUAAAAAACCUUCUCUUAAGCCCAUUUACAUUUCUGCAAACCUUUUUAUUUGCUUUACUUACUUGGUGCACCCUGUUUUAUUAUAUGUUUACAUGCUGGUUUAGCUUUCUUUUAUGCAUCCCAUAGUUACUAAUUCUCUCCAUGUUAUAUAUUUUAUGAACUUUAUCUACUUUUUAAAUAUAUAAAUAUUAAAAAUAACCAAAAAUAUGUUUAUAAGGUUAAAGCACACAUGCGACCGUUCGUUUAUGCCUUAUGCUAAAAGCUUUUUUUUUUUUUUACAAAAAUAAUAAAAAUAUGUUUAAAAGGUUAAAGCACGUGUGACCGUUCGCGUAGGCCUUGUGCUAAAAACCUUUUCUUUUUUUUUCAAAAAAAUAAUAAAAAUAUGUUUAAAAGAUUAAAGCACACGUGCGACCGUUCGCGUAGGCCUUGUACUAAAAGCCUUUUUCCCAUCUUUUAUAAAAAUAAUAAAAAUAUGUUUUAAAGGGUUAAAGCACACGUGCGACUGCACCGUAGGCCUUGUGCUGAAAGUCUUUUUUCCUUUUUCUUUCACAAUAAUAAUAAAAAUAUGUUUUAAAAGGUUAAAGCACACGUGCGUCCGUUUGUGUAGGUUUUGUGCUAAAAGCAUUUUUCCUUUUCUCUUUCACAAAAAUAAUAAAAAUGUUUUAAAAGGUUAAAGCACAUGUGCGACCGUUCGCAACCGUUCGCGUAGGCCUUGUGCUAAAAGCCUUAUCCUUUUCUUUCACAAAAAUAAUAAAAAUGUUUUAAAAGAUUAAAGCACACAUGCGACCGUUCGCGUUGGCCUUGUGCUAAAAAGUUUUUCCCUUCCUCAUAUAAAAAUACCAAAAUAUGAACAUUUUAAAACAACAAACAAUUUUUCAGCUAGAACUACGUGAUCCUUGAUUCUUCAUCCAAAGUGGAGAUACGUAGGAGCAAUGUCAGUUCUUGUCACUUCCCAAAAAUCCAAAUCUUUUCCAAGUAACUUUUCUCAACAAUUUUUCCAAAAAUAAAAUAAAAUUAGAUUUUGUCUUUUAGAAUCUUAUUUUUAGGGGUAGUUAAACAUUUCGAAAACCACAUCCAAUUUGCGUAUUUAAUUAAAGGUACUGUCUUAGGGCAGGCAUUGUAGGGUACUAAUACCUUCCCUACACGUAACUGACUCCUGAACCUAUAAUCUGGUUUUCGUAGGCCUUGCCUUAUUAUUUUAUGGUUUUUUCCAUAGUUUUCCAGAAUAAACUAUGGUGGCGACUCCAAAACUCUUUUUCAAAACCCGUUUCAUUUUUGAAUCAUCGUCUCGUCGCGAUUCCGGUUGUGACAAGUAGUUAUGAUUUUCUAUUUAUUAGGUAGAAUUUUAUUUUAUGAUAGAUUAAGGAGAUUUUAAUUGUAAGACAAUUAAUAUUUUAUUUUUAGAUUUUAUUUUUAUUUUGGUAAUACUGUAAAUAUUACGGCUAUUUAAAGUUCUUCAAUUAUCAAUUAAAUAGUGGACAAGUUUUAGAAAAGUAUUUGAGUGUGUACUUUGAGAUUUUCCUAACACUUUUAUCAGCAUGACAUCUUCUUCCUCCAAAUUGACUCUGAAAUUGCUUAUCAACGCUAAGCGUGAGAAGGUCAUGUUCGCAGAAACAUCAAAAUCGGUUGUAGGCUUUCUCUUUAACUUGCUCUGCUUGCCCAUUGCUACUGUCAUAAGGAUUCUCAACAAGAAUCAAAUGGUUGGUAGCUUAGGCAAUCUGUAUGAAAGUGUUGAGAACUUGGAUGAAACUUACAUGCAACCAGACUAGGAUAAUGAUCUAGUGUUGAAACCAAGUGCCCCCAUGUCUUCACGAAUCUUUGGUCUUCUUCCUUCAGUUAAUGACAGUUCUUCAAACAACUCCACAGAUGUGUUCUAGGGGUGCCCAAUUCACCUUGGUUACGACACCUUUGAUAACACCACUCCUUGUCCUGAUUGUAGUAUACCUAUGGACUUGGAAUUGACUUUUGUUAGUGAAAAGGUUGCAAAUGAAAUUUCUGCCAACAAGAGUGGUUUUGUGAAAGAUGUAGUAACUUACAUGGUGAUAGAUGAUUUAGCGAUUCAACCCAUGGCAAGCAUAUCAAACAUUACCUUACUUAACAAAUUCAACGUCAAAGAGGUUGGCACUUUGCAGGAAAAGGUAGGCGAGAUAGACAUGAACUAGGCAUGUUUUUGUUUAUAAAAUAUGAAGAUAUCAUUAUUGCUCUUCAGGUUUAAAACAUAAUUUUCAAUACAUAUUUAACAAUCUAUACAUAAUAAAUAAGACCACAAUUUCAUUCAUUCGUUAAUGACUUAAAAUAAGAUAUUACUCUGUCAAAACCUAUAGUGAAGAAUGAUUAUCAAGAAAAACAUCUGUCAAAACCGUAUUCGACUGCAAAGAAGCCUUUAGAAGAUUCACGCCCUAUAAUAUGAAGAAAAUAAAUUAAUGAACCAUGAUGUAUUAUUAGUUAACGAAAAUAAAAAAAGAAAAUUCCAACAUGUGUGCAAGAGAUUCACGAAACCCUUUACGUUGUACAUAUUAAAUUAGGUAUAUGCAUAUUUUAUAAACAAAAACAUGUGUGGUUCAUGUCCAUCUCAACCACCUUUUCCUACAAAGUGUCAACCUCUUUGACGUUUUGGCGUUGAAUUUGUUAAGUAGGGUAAUGCUUGUUAUGCUUGACAUGGACUGAAUCGCUAAAUCAUCCAUCACCAUGUAAGUUACUACAUCUUUCACAAAAUCACUCUUGUCGACAAAAAAUUCAUUUGCAACCUUUUCACCAACAAAAGUCAAUUCCAAGUCCAUAGGUAUAUUACAAUCAGGACAAGGAGUGGUGUUAUUAAAGGUAUCGUAACCAAGGUGAACUGGACACCCAUAGAACACAUAUGUGGAGUUGUUUGAAGAACUGUCAUUAACUGAAGGAAGAAGACCAGAGAUUCGUGAAGACAUGAGGGCACUUGGUUUCAACACUAGAUCCUUAUCCUGGACUGGUUGCAUGUAAGUUUCAUCCAGAUUCUCAACACUUUCAUACAGAUUGCCUAAGCUACCAACCAUUUGAUUCUUGUUGAGAAUCCUUAUGACAGUAGCAAUAGGCAAGCAGAGCAAGUUAAAGAGAAAGUCUACAACCGAUUUUGAUGUUUCUAUGAACUGGACCUUCUCACACUUAGCGUCGAUAAGCAAUUUCAGAGUCAAUUUGGAGGAAGAAGAUGUCAUGCUGAAAGAAGUGUUAGGAAAAUCUCAAGUUACACAAUCAAUUUUUUUUUUUAAAAUUGAGUCUAUUAUUUAUUGAUAAUUGAAGAACUUUAAAUAGUUAUGAUAUUUACAAUAUUACGGAAAUAAAAUAUUAAUUGUCUUGCAAAUAAAAUCUGUUUAAUCUAUCAUAAAUUAAUAUUCUACCUAGAUAAAUAGAAAAUCAUAACUACAUAUUCCUAUUUUAUAUCAGAUCAUGAUAUUUUAACAAUUUUUCUUAACAACUUUUUAACAAAAUAACAUGUGUCAUCAUUUUAUUGAUCUGUUUGAAUUUAUUUUUAAAAAAUAUUUGAAACGGAUCAACACAAACUACCAUGUAUGCGUUGUAAAAAAAGUUGUCGAAAAAAUUGUUAAAAAGAACUUUUUCUUUUUUUAUCUCUAUGAAAUCAAUCCGAAUUUGCUUUUGUUUGUACCCAAACAAGAAGAUUUCACUUCCCUUUGUUAUUUUUUUCUAAGAAUAAUUUUAUCUUUGUUUUAUCGGUUAAAUUUAAAACUUAACUCAAUAUUUUAUUUUAUAUCAUGUAAAGAAGUUGAGUGAGUGCUGCAAAAUUAUUUCGAUAAGAUCUAAAUGGACACGAAAAUAAAAAUUGAUACCCAUGCAUGAACCACUAUUUUCCUCGCAUUUUGUAGGACUGAGUGUCAACACCCAAUUUCAUUCGGAUAACUAAAUAAUAGUACUUAGUUUUUAUUUUUGUCUUAUUUUCUAUUUUAUUAUUAUUUUACUUUGUUUUUAUUAUUUGAUUUCUUGUAUUAGUCUUUUUUUUUAAAAAAAAGGAAAAAAUAAAAAUAAAAUAAAAAAAGCAAAAAUGAAAAAAAAGAAAAAAAAGAAAGAAAAAAAAGUAAAAAAAAAAGUAAAAAAAAAAGAGAGAUUGAAACAUGGAAGUGUGCACAUGCAACCACCUCAUGUGCAUAUAUAUUGGAUUCAAUGGGGCUGCACGUGAAGUAAAAACCAAAAUUGGAGUGUCCAGCAGCAAGUCCAGGAGGAGCAGUGGUCCAACAGUUGAAUGAAAAACCCACACAGGACAAGCAGAGACGGGGGGAAUUGGCUGACAGAGGAGACACGUUUUCUUUGCUUCCUCCCUGGCGAAACAGAAUUGCCUCCUCCCUCACGCAGACACCAAUUCUCAAUCCAUCCUCCACCUCAACAAUCAUCAUACACACCAUUUUCCACUCCUCUGAUCACCACCCCGUAAUCACCUAAUCAGAUUUCCCUUUUGGUUCCCAAUUCCUCAUCUCUAACAGUAUUCAAAUUUCAACCCACCUUGACCCAUACACUGACUCACCAUAUCACCUCUAACCGAAACAGAUUCACCAGACACACCACUCAUACACAUCAACAGAUUGACCUCAUACAUUUUUUUUCUCUCCAUCACUGAACAGGCACACGAGACCUCACGAUCACGCACAAUCCACAUUCCCCCAUCAUCACACCCGUAACGACCCCAACAAACAUCCACAAUCCUACAUCUCACGGCAACACACACAUUCAUUCUAGCCUUGCCCAAUCUGAUCACUCAUCAAAACACACAACACUCCCCUUUGGCUCACCACUACCUCAUGCCUAACCCGGUACCACCAUUCCUCCAGUAGGUACAAGAAUCCAUCUUCCAACCCCAAACUUUAUCAUCUCCAUUCCUAACACAAAAAACAGAGAAGCUCAUUCACACCUCAUCUUCUUCUUCCGUUUUAAUCACCCACACAUUCACUCACUACCUCCUCCAUCAGAAAAACAAAAACCAAAGCAAAAUAGAGAAAAAACCCAAGGUCUUAUUUCACAGAGACAGAAAAGCAUUCAAAGGAAUUCAUGGAAUCAUGGUGUCAGCGCUGGAAAUUGCUAGCUUAUUCUCCAUGCUGUUUGAGCUUCUGUUGACUCAAUUGAUGAAGCUCUUUCAUUGGGCAAAUUUUAAUGGAGCUUGAGCCAAUACCCACACAGAGCGCGUUAUGCUAACCUGUGCUCUCUAAUCCAUUUGCGCCGUUACGCCGGCGGCGAGUCCGAAACGCAUCAAGCCUUCAACCCUGAUCAGAGUAAAAUAACAGAGCAAGAGGAGUAGCAGUCUUGGAGUCGCAUCUGUGGAGGAAACGAGCAAGGGUUUUGCGUCCCGGUGUUCAGAUAGUCUUCUGCGAUGAAGAUUUAGGCUGACGGUGUCUUUGGGCGAAUGGCAGCAAGAGCGGAUAGUCUCUAGAGUCAGGUUUUGGUCCACACUUGGAAAAGACGGCAAGAGAAGGUUGGACUGCUAUCAGCGGCAGCGACGUUUCCGACGCAGACGAAACAACCGGUGAACCCGAGAGAAGUGGACGACGACGGCGACAGCGCUUCUGUUGCUCUUGGUGAAUGUUGCAGUUGAAGCAUCCGGAAGAACCCUAACGCAGAUCCCCUCUCAACGGCGCAACCAGGUUGAUCAUUUGAGGGGCGUUUCCCUCUUGCUUGCGAAGACGAGCAUGGAGGAGGAGUUCGGCGUUGCAGUCGGCUGUGGUCCCGUCGAUGCUUGUCGUCACCGGCAAAGCUGUUGACGGUGGCGGCAUAGUGGCUGGAGAAACAAACCCUUCGAGAGAAGGAGAAUCCAACUUGGAGCCUCUGUGCUGUUGGGUGCAUAAUGAGAAGAAGAAAUUCGAACCCCUUUGGGUUUCUAGGUCAGGAGAGGGAUUUGGGCCUGGGUUGCCUCUUUGCUUCCUGGCGACAUGCACUUCCUAUUUGCACCUCCAAUCCGUUUCUGCAUAUAAAAGGGGCUUGGGCCUGGCUAUUGGGCUGCGGUUUCUCUGCCUGUCACCGUGCAACUCUAUUUGCACCACCUUUUCCUUUCUGCAAACAAAAACAAGAUUGGGCCUGGGCAGGCCAUUUCGCGCUGCACCACCAAAUUGAUCAUUACACCCCUGGCAGUCUCAACUUUGCUGAGCACCCCUGGUUUAUUAUCUCUGCACUCCCCUAUUCUUAUUAGGCUUGGACUAUGGUUUUUUUAUUGUCUUUGUUUUUUUAUUUCUUUAGCUUUGACAUUGUUUUAUUAUUGUGUGUUGUUAUAUCCCUUUGCUAAUAAAAAUAAAAAUAUAAAAAUCAAUAAAAAUAUUUUGGAAAGAUUGAAGCACACGUGCGACCGCUUGCGUAGGCCUUGUGCUGAAAAUCUUUUUCUUUUCUUUUACAAAAAUUGAGAAUGUUUUGAAAAGAUUUAAGCACACGUGCGAUCGCUCGCGUAGGGCUUGUGCUGAAGAUCUUUUCCUUCUCUUUUACAAAAAUCAAAUAAAAAUGUUUUGAAAAGAUUUAAGCACACGUGCGACCGCUCGCGUAAACCUUGUGCUGAAGAUCUUUUCCUUCUCUUUUACAAAAAUCAAAUAAAAAUGUUUUGAAAAGAUUUAAGCACACGUGCGACCGCUCGCGCAGGCCUUGUGCGGAAGAUCUUUUCCUUCUCUUUUACAAAAAUCAAAUAAAAAUGUUUUGAAAAGGUUUAAGCACACGUGCGACCGUUCGCGUAGGCCUUGUGCUGAAGAUCUUUUCCUUCUCUUUUACAAAAUCAAAUAAAAAUGUUUUGAAAAGGUUUAAGCACCCGUGCGACCGCUUGCGUAGGCCUUGUGCUAAAAACCUUUUCUCUUUUUAUAUAAAAAUACCAAAAAAAAUAUAUAAAAUUUUCAAAAACUAAAAACAUCUUCAAACAACAAUCUUUCUGAAAGAACUACGUAACCCUGAUUUCUCAUUUUGAAUGAGAAUACGUAGGAGCAAGGUCAAUCCUUGUCGGGUCCAAAAACCAAAAAAAUAUUUUUGUUUCUUUAUAUUGUUGUUUUCGGGAUAGUUAAAUAUUUUGCAAACCACAUUUUUAUUUGCGCAUUUAAUUAAAGGUACUGCUUUAGAGCAGACGUUGUGGGGGUGCUAACACCUUCCCCACACGUAACCGACUCCCGAAUCGAAUCUCUGGUUUUCAUAGACUAAGCCUUAUCCUUUUUAUGGUUUUUUCCAUAGUUUUCCAGAAUAAACUAUGGUGGCGACUCCAAAACAUUUUUUCAAAUAGUUUUCUUUUUGGAUCUUCGUCCCGUCGCAAUUUUCCGGUUGCGAUACUGAGUAAAUGAAUUUUAAACAUAACGUUUUCAUAACAUAAAAUUACGAAAAGCACAAAAACAUAAUGUUGACAUAAACUUCCAAACCAAUACGUAAAACAAUGAAAACUGGUUUUUUUAAGGAAUGAUGUGCGAUUUUUGAGAAAAACACUUGUAAAAAAAUAUUAAAUAAAAAACAUCAACCAGAAAACUAAACUUUACACAAUUUACCUAACCAAUUUAUAAUAUAAAAUAAUUAAUGAAUAUUAUGAAAUUUGCAUGUGAUAAAAAUAUCCAUAUGCGCUUUGGUUAAAUUUGUAAAACCAAUAUCUCUUAAAAAAAAACCAUAUUCAUAAUUCUUUAACAUAUUAAAUACUCAUUAAAGCAGUCAAUUCAAGUUUAACCACCAAUUGUUUUUACAGAUCUUAACAUGUAAAAUUAAGUUAUAAAGUUAAAGUUCAUUUUAUGAUAUAAACUGACACCCAUGAACCACGAUAUUUUCCUCACAUUUUGUAGGAUUGAGUAAAUAAAUUUCAAACCUAAUGUUUUUAUAACAUAAAAUUACGAAAAGCACAUAAACAUAGUGUUGCCAAAAACGUCCAAACCAAAAUGUAAAACAAUGAAAACUGAUUUUUUAAGGAAUGAUGUGCGGUUCUUGAGAAAAACACUUGUCAACACCAUUUUCGACUCCGCAGAAGCCUUGAGUAGAUCCUCCACCCUGUUUCAAACAGCAAAACAAUUAAAUAAAAUAAAAAACAUGAACCAGAAAACCAAACUUUUCACAAUUUACCUAUCCAAUUUAUAAUAUAAAAUGAUUAAUCAUGAAUGAAAGAAAUAUUAUGAAAUUUGCAUAUGAUAAAAAAAAAAUCGAUAUUCGCUUGGUUAGAUUUGUGAAACCAACAUCUCUUAACAACACUAAAUACUCAUUAAAGCUGUCAAUUUGUGUUUAACCAACACUAAUUUUUUACAUAUCUUAACUUUGUGAUGAGUUACGCACAAACAUUAGUUUGAAAAGAUAUAUGAAAAACUUUAUAUCGAUUAAAAAAAAGAUAAAUUUAAAAUAUUUUAAAAUAUAUAAAUAAUUUGUUAUAUUGAUUUUAUAAAACUGAAUUAGAUUUAAAAAUCACUUUUAAGACAUUUUCAAUAAAUAUUUAAGAAGGUUUCCAUCUUUUCUUCAUCUUCUUUUUUUGUUCUGUAAGAAGGUUUCUCUCACUUUUCUUCUUAGCUCGACAAUAUUUAAUCGUAUGAUCGAGCUUACCACCAUUGUAGCACUUCCUUGAUCUACAUUCAUAUCCAUAGUGGCCAUGCUUGCCACACUUAAAACAUUUCACUUCUGACUGAUCUCCUCGACCUCUUCCUUGUCCUCGGUCAUGCCAAUAUUGUUGACCGGUUUUCUCAUCAUUGCCUCUACCACGUCCACCUCGUCCUUGUCCUCGGCCUCCUCUUCCUUUGUUGCCAGGAUCUCGGCUCUGAGUAAUCCGAGAUUUAUUCGAGUCAAACUGUACCUGUAGUGCUUAAUCGUUGGGUUUAACCUGAUCAUCCCAACUCCUUCUCCUUUGUUUGUGGGCUUUUAAUGAUCCAACAAGUUCAUCCAUUGUGAGAACCGACAAGUCCUUCGAUUCUUCGAUGACGCACACGAUACUUUCGAAAUCUUUUGUAAGAGAUCUCAAAAAUUUUUCCACAACUCGGCUAGAUGGCAUUUGUUCUCCAUUCCUGCUGAGUUGGUUGGCCACCUUCUCCAUCUGAAUUAUGUACUCGAUUAUAUGAUCUUUGGACUCCAUCUUCAACGGUUCAAACUCUUCUCUGAUAGCUUGUAUUUGGACUUUUAAAAAAUGGAAAGGCUUUGUUUCAGGUAAGUGCGUGCGUGAUUAAUGAAAAGUGAUAUCCUCUUAUUCAACCAAAUUCUUUAUUAUAUAUAUAUAUAUAUAUAUAUAUAUAUAUAUAUAUAUAUAUAUAUAUAUAUAUAUAUAUAUCAAGUUAAAAUUUAAAAAUAUACUAUAUACUAUGCUCACAUUUUUGCGUAUUUUACUUUUUUUUCUUAGAGAUUCCGAGUUUUGCUAAAAGGGGUUCAAAAGUUCCCUUUUUCGUAUAAAACUAGCAAAGUUAACAAAUUUGCCCAUGGUAUUUCGUGUAAAAUGCUUUUUAUUUUCAAAAUAAAUAAGAACAAAAGUGCGUACACGAAAAUAGGAAUUGUAUUUUCAAAACUACUGUCAAAAUCACACAUAACCUUUUUCAAGUAAAAUUUUGUUCUAGAUCUUAAUAUUUAAAUAAAAUAUAAAUAAUUAAAAACUGAAUUUUCCUGCAAACUUAAUAAGAUUCUGAGUGAAGUAAAUUCUUUGCCAUUAAAUAUGUGUUCACCGAAAUAUUUAUAAUAGAGUAUGAUUAAAAUUGAAAGUUCAAUUUUAUACUAUGUAACAAAGACAUUUAAGUUUAUUUUUAGAAGUUAAAGUAAAUGCCAAUAUAAUUUUUACCACAAAGUAUUAAAAUUAAAAAUUAUGGUAGGCAUAGGGUGUUUUAUUUAACUACUUUGUUGUUAGUUCAAAAUACAUUCAUGAACAUCAAUUUUGAUGUUUUAAGAACACUUGAGAAAUACGGAUGACAGCACUAAAACCCAAAAAAUCGGAUUUUCCAGUCUCUAAAGAUUAAAAUAAAUAUGUAAUGUAAAGAAGUUGAGUGAGUGCUGCAAAAUUAUUACGAGAAGAUCUAAAUGGACGCGAAAAUAAAAAGUGACACCUAUGAACCACACUAUUUUCCUCGCAUUUUGUAGGACUGAGUAAAUAAAUUUCAACCAUAAUGUUUUAAUAACAAAAUUAUGAAAAACACAGAAACAUAGUGUUGCCAAAAACUUCCAAACCAAAAUGUAAAACAAUGGAAACUGAUUUUUUAAGGAAUGAUGUGAGGUUCUUGAGAAAAACAUUUGUAAACAACAUCUUCGACUUUGGAAAUGCUUUGAGAAGAUCCCUACCUGUUUCAUACAGAAAAACAAAAAAAAUGAAAUGAAAAACAUGGAACUAGAAAACUAAACUUUUCAUAAUUUACCUAACCAAUUUAUAAUAUAAAAUAAUUACUGAGAAGUGAAAGAAAUAUUAUGAAAUUUGCAUAUGAUAAAAAAAAUCCAUAUUCGAUUGGUUGAAUUUCUGAAACCAACAUCUCUUAAUAAAAAACUCAUUCAAAACUCUUAACACAUUAAAUACUCAUUAAAGUUUAACCAACACUAAUUUUUUACAGAUCUUAACUUUACGAUGAGUUUAGGAUUUGAAUUAAGGUUUUCUUUAGGUAUAAUAUAUAUACUUUAGUUUGAAAUGAUAUAUGAAAAACUUUAUAUCGAUUAAAAAAAGAUAAAUUUAAAAUAUUUUAAAAUAUUUAAUAACUUUUUAAACUGAUUUUAUAAAACUAAAUUACAUUUAAAUAUCACUUUUAAGACAUUUUCAAUAAAUAUUUAAGAAUAUAUGAACCAUAAAAAAGACCACAGUUUCAUGCAUUGGAUAUUGAUUUAAAAUAAGAUAUUAAGUACAUUGUAUGAAACCUUAAGCCGAAUUCUUGAGAAAAACAUCAGUCAAAACCGUCUUCGACUGCAUAGAAGCUUUCAGAAGAUUCACACCCUGUACAAUAUAAAUAAAAUAAAUUAAUGAACCAUGAUCCAUUGUCAGAAAAAAAAAAAAAAAAAAACAAAACUCCAGCAUAUUUGUAAGAGAUCCACGAAACACUUUACUUUGUGCAUAUUAAAUUAGAAGUAAAUUCAUAUAUUUUAAACCUGAAAAGCGAUGACGAUAUCUUCAUAUUUUAAAAACAAAACUUGCCUCAUUCAUGUCCAACUCGAUCACCUUUGUCUCCAAGUCGUCAAGAUCUUUCACGUUGAAUUUGUUAAGUAGAGUAGGGAAUGAAAUGUCUGACAGGGGCUCAAUUGUCAGAUCAUCCAUCACAAUGUAAGUUACUACCUCUUUUACAAAACCACUCUUCUUGGCAAUUUCAUUUGCAACCUUUUCACCAACAAAAUUCAUUUGCGCGUUCAUAGAUAACUUACAAUUAGGACAAUGAAUGGUCCUAUCACAUGUGACGUAAUCACGGUGAUAUUGGUACCGGUAGAAUACAUCCGUGGAGUCGUUGGAAGAACUGUUGGAAGAACUGUCAUUAUCUGAAGGAAGAAGACCAGAGAUUGGUGAAAACAUGAGGGCACUUGGUUUCAACAGUAGAUUCUUAUGCUGGCCUGGUUGCAUGUAGGUUUCAUCAAGAUUCUCAACACUUUGAUAGAGAUUGCCUAAGCUACCAACUAUUUGAUUCUUAUUGACAAUCCUUAUAACAGUAGCAAUGGGUAAACAGAGCAAGUUAAAGAGAAAGUCUACAACGGAUUUUGAUGUUUCUGCGUACAGAACCUUCUCACGCUUAGUGUCGAUAAGCAAUUUCAGAGUCAAUUUAAAGGAAGAAGAUGCCAUGCUGAUAGAAGUUUUAGGAAAAUAUCAAGAUUCACACUCAAUAUUUUUCUAAAAAUUGAGUCUAUUGGACUUUAAAUAGAAGUGAUAAUUAAAAUAUUAUGAAAAUAAAAAUAAAAUACAAAUAAAAUCUCCAUGAUCUAAAAUCAUAAUUACAUAUCCCUAUUUUAUCUCAAUCAAAUCAAACUAAAUAUUAUUAUUCCUAUUUUAUCUUUAUCAAAUAAAACUAAAUAUUACUAGAUCUAAAAUCAUAAUUACAAAUCCCUAUUUUAUCUCUAUCAAAUCAAACUAAAUAUUACUAGACCUAAAAUCAUAAUUACAUAUCCCUAUUUUAUCAUCUAUCAAAUCAAACUAAAUAUUAUUAGACCUAAAACUAAUAAAAUAAAAUAAACUAAAUAUUAUUAGACCUAAAACUAAUAAAAUAAGAUUUAAACAAACUAUUUUAUCUCUACCAAAUCAAAUUAUUUUAUCUCUAUCAAAUCAAACUAAAUACUACAAUAAAUUCUAUAAUAAAAUAUAUAAUUUUAGAUUAAAAAUUAAUUAAAUUUUUUUAAUAAAAAAAUCUAUAUUAACUUUCAUUGUAGUCUAUUUAAAAGAGAAAAAGAUCGAGAUUUUGGAAAUUGGAAUAUUAUUUACCAUAACGUGAAAGAAUUUUUUAAAGAAAUUUCUUUUCAAAAAUAAAUAAAAACUUACCCAUAAAUCAUGAAUCAUGAUGAUAGCUUUGAUGUUGAAUCAAGUUUUUAAAGAAAUUUCUUUUCAAAAAUAAAUAAAAACUUACCCAUAAAUGGUGUUGAAUGAAGGUUUUGUUUCAUUGCUUCUUAACUACUCAUGCAAGUGAUGAUGUAUAAAUGAAAAGAAAUAAUAUCAAUCAAUAAAUAAAUAGGCAUGCAAAAUUUAGUGGGACAGCAUAAUCUCACUGUCAGUGCAAUUAUUUUUCGUGUCUUCGAGGUUAGAAAAAGAUUUGAGUUUUUUUUUUUUUUUUAGAAUAAUUUUAUCAUUGUUUUACCGAUUAAAAUUAAAACUUUACUCAAUAUUUUAUUUUAUAUCAUGUAAUAUAUCGUAACACAAUAAAAUUAUUCAAAUAUAUCGUAUUGUCAUAACACAAUAAAUUAUAUUUAAGUUUAAUUAAAAUAAAAUUUAAGUUUAAUUAAAAAUUAAAGAUAUUUUUUAUACACUUUUCAACUUCUUAUUUAAUUCAAUAUAUAUUUAAGAAUGUAUGAUCAUAAAUGUAACAUCAUUAAAACUAUAAUUUUUUUUUGUAUUUCUAGUAACUUGUUAUAGAUACUUUUUAUUAAUAAAUGGUUAGAUAAUUAUAGUUGUGUUAGAAUAAGUCAUAACCAACCAGUACAAAAUUCACUGUUGAUGUUAUUAAAAAGAAGCUAUAAGAACAAAAGUUUUUCAUUAAAAUUAAAACUCUCUUAUGCACUGUGUUCGUCUUGAAAGAUUUUACUAUUCAUUAUCUUUUGCACACGGAUUCGUGAUUUUUUUGUGUUCGUUUUAAGGUAUUUAUUUAAAAGAAAAAAAAUAUAUUUGCAGAAUUGAUGGGUAAUUCCAUCUUUAUUAUCCUGUAGAAAUUUUAAAUUAUUAGAUAAUGUUUUUCCUAAAAAACCAAUUUUGUUCCUGUAAAAUUAUACAUUUUUUCUAAUAGUUAUCUUGAAAAAUGCAUACAGCAUAAUAUGAUGGAUUCCAAUAAAGAAAAUCACUUCAACUAAACUUGAAAAUUUCAUUCUUAUUGAUUUUAUUAAUAAUAAUAUAAUAAAAUAGUAAUAUUAAUAAUAAUAUUAUUAUUAAAUAAUAAUGAUAAUAAUAAACUUACAUAGCCCUCUGCUUCUUCUCUGUUUUAUAGCCAAGACGAUAAAAUUAUAUUUCAUAGAAUUUUUUUUUUCAGAUUAUCAGUACAAUUUAAUCUUUUAAUUUUGUAUUUAAGUUCAAUAAUUUUUUACAGAAAUAUUAAAGUUAGUUUUAUUCAGAAGAUUUAUUAUUUCUUUAUGAAAAAUUGAAAUUGAAAUUAAAAUUACAAAAAAAAGAGUAAACUUUUAUUUAAAUAUAUUGUACUAAACUUAGUUAUUUUUUAAAAUAUAUUAUAUUAAUUAAUUAGUUAUUUUAGUACAACUAUUUCAAAUAAUUUUUGUCAUAAAAUAUAUUACUUUUAAAUAUUAUUUUAUAUUAUUUUUACCACUAAAAGUUAUUCGAAGAUAUUAAAGUAGAGAACAUAAAUUUUAUCAAAUGAGUUCGUUUUAAAACUUGUGAUUGAGAAACUAUUGUCAUCCUAAAUAACUACAAGCAAUAGGUGAAAUUUUUAUAUGCAAAAUAAAAUAUGGUAGAACACUGGUUCCAAAAAAGUAUGAAAACAAACUAGGUCACAAAAGAAAAAAACAAUUUUCAAAAUUCUUCUUUCAAUGGAUAUAGUUAACCAACUUAUUUCUAGUAUAUGAAAAUUCAUACCAUCAUGCACCUAAGUACAGACACAAAGAUGAUCAACGCGACAAUUCUUAUUUCUAGAAAGGGAAAGUUUCUUCUAAAACUCAUGUACAGACGAGAAAAGUUGAGCAUUUAAAUUCAACAAAAUUACAAGACAAAAUAUAAUGUUUUUGCAGAAAAAAAAAUGUGAUCAAUGUCUCUUUAUAAAAUAUUGAUAAAAAGUCAUUAAAAGUGAUGACAAUUUUUAAUUAAACUAUAAGGCGACUUCUUUAUAAAAAAUUCUAAAAAGAUAAGUUAUUAAGAUCGAUGACCACUUACUUUAUAAAAUUGUUAAAAGAAAAAUUAUUAAAAGUGAUAAUAAUUUUCAAUUAAAUUAAAGUUAUCAUAAUCCAUGACCACUUCUAUGAUGAAAUUAAGCUUUCCGAGUUUAUCAAACUUUUCUUCGUCCAACUUAACUUAUUGUUAAGUUUAUUACCUUAUUGGACGAUUUUAUUGAGUUUACCACUCCGGCCAAUUAUCUUAACAAAUUCUCUUUUCAAAAAAUUUCAAUAAUAUGUAAAUUUUAAAUUAAUUAUCUCAUUUUUAUAAUUUACCAAUUAAAUUAAUCAUUAUUGAAAGUUUUCCUCUUUUCUCUUAGACCACUUUUUUAUUCCAUGGUUUAAAUUGAUUUUAUGAUGAUUGAUGUGUCAUUUUUUUAUAUAAAUAAAAAAUGUUACAUAUAUAUUAUUACAUCCACCUUAAAGAUGAAAGAAAUGUAAAAUGUUUUUUAUUUUUAAAAUAAAUAAGAACAAGAGUGCAUACACGAAAAUAGGAAUUGUACUUUCAAAACUACUGUCAAAAUCACACGUAACCUUCUUCGAGUAAAUUUUUGUUUUAGAUCUUAAUAUUUAAAUAAAAUACAAAUAAUUAAAAACUCAGUUUCACUGCAAACAUACUAAGAUUCCGAGUAAAGUAAAUACUUUACCUAUACACUAUGUUCACAUUGAAAGAUAGAUUUGGAAAAAAAUGAAAUUAAUGGAUUUGAGAAUAAGUUGAUUGUUAUUUUUUUAAAGGAUUAAGAAAUGAAUGAAAGUAGAUUUAAAAAUAAAUUUAUAAAAAUUAGUAUAAAAUUUGAUUGAUGUAAUAGAUAAAAAAUAAUAAUUUAAUUAGUAAAAAUUAAAUAUUAUUAAAAUAUCUUUAGUAGUAAAAAUUAAUAUAAAAUGAUAAUGGGUUAAUAAUAUACAUAAUUGUAGAAAUUGUUAUAAGAAGAAAAAAAAUAUUAAAAUGAAAAAGAAAUUAUAUUUAAGUAAUGCAAAAUAAUUAUUUUUAAAAUAUAAUAUUUUGGAAAUAUAAGCUUACAUUAUAAUCAAAUACGUUUGUUUGGAAUCGAAUAUGUCUGCGUUCGAAUCGAAUAAGUUUAGGUUGUAACUGAAUACGCUUUUUUAUGAUUUUCUACAUAAGAUAGAAUAGAUUUCAACUCUCUUUGAAUCAAAUACGAGUUGGAUCUUCGUUCUCCUCGAACUCUACUGGUUCAUCUUGACCUCCACUCGUUUUGAAUUAUAGCUUAAGGAUAAUAUCGAUUUUCACAAAAUAACACUGUAAGUCUCUUCUCCUGAUCAAAGAACCCUUGCAUCUUCCAAAUUUUCUACCUUCCUUCUUGCAAAUUCGUUCAAGCAAAUAGCAAUAUUCACUCCAAUCCGCCUUCCUAUAUUCCCUUUCAUAUUUCAUCCUUUGAAAUUAACAGUGUUAAAUACGUGUUUGUGAAAUAUUUAUAAUAAAGUAUGAUUAAAAUUGAAAGUUAAAUUUUUAACUAAGUAAUUUAAGUUUAUUAUUCUAGAAGUUAAAAAUAAAAAUUUUUCUACACUUUUAAUUCUUCAGUCUCUUCAAGAUUUAAAAAAUAAAACAAAUAUUUUCCAAUGCCUUGUUUUUGAGGGAAAGUUCAACUUUCAAACUAGUUAAGAAAAUUUUUAGGGCACUAACUUAUGAGUUUCCCGGGAAGUUUCUCUUUUUUUUCUCCCUGUCUAAUUUUUCAUUCUAUUGUUUAAAAUUGAUUUUAUGAUGGUUGAUCGUUAGCAUAUAAUUAUGACAAAAAAGAUGUCUUAAGUAGAGGAAUAUUGCUUUAUAGAAUUAAUUGGGUAAUCUAUCAUUUUUUUAUAUAAUUUAAAAAUAUCACAAAUAUUAUACUCUAUUUAAAAGGUAAUCGAUCAAAUUUAUUUCCCGUCGCGCUUAUAAUUAUUUGAUUGUUUCCAAUGAAAAAGCAAGAGAAUAUUUUAGGAUCAUAAGGGUCCCGUUAUUUUGACACAUUUUUUUAACACAUAUUUGUCAAUAUUUAAUUGGUCCUUUUUAAUUUUUAUUUUUUUUUAAAAAAAGUUGUCCUCGAGAGUGAAGAGGGAUUCAGAAAAUUGGAUUUCUAAAUAUACCUCUGUCCUCUUUCAUUAGAAACGCAGCUUCUCUCUUCAUUUUCACAAAAAAGUUUCGUCCGUUUGCGUCUUCGUUCUCGUUGUGGGUGUUCGCAGUUUGUUUUCGUUGUGGGUGUUCGAAAUGGCAAGUUCCAGUGAGCAUCUUCGUUUGACCAAAGUAAAUGUGUUUUUCCACUAUCUUCUUCUUGGUUUGGGUUUUGUGUUUUUGGUUUUGGUGUUUAGAUUUCUGUUGUUUUGGGGAAUAAAGUGUGGGACAUGCAUAACCAUUCAAUAACAGUGCUUUUGUUUCCCUAGGUGGAAUGUCCAACAACGAACAAAGUGGAAUCUCCAACAACCAAGAAGGAGGAAUGUGCAAGAACGAACCGGGUGGAAUGUCCAACAAGCAAUCACCUUUGAAGACGUAUGUUAGGAUUGGAUCAAGAAGGCGUUAUAAGAGUCAAACGCUUAGGACACCGUACACCGGAAAUUUAGUUCUUAGAAUAAAAAACGACUGAUCAAUGUAUUAAGUUUUUGAAAUGACAAUUAUAGAACAGGACACUGUAAUUAUACCUAUUUCGUUCAAUAUAUAGAAGAUGCAUGAUUGGUCCCAUGAAGUUUUGUAAUUUAUAAUUUUGCAAUUUUAUAGGCUAUGUUAUUGAAGUGGUUUACAUUGUGAAUCUCCAUUUUUAUCCAGUGAUAUUGUUUGUGAUAGAAUAAUGAAAGAAUGUCUGUGACUUGAUGAAGUUACGUGAAUUGGUGAACAUGAUGUUGUUAAAAUCUGCAUUGUAAUCGUUUACCAGGCCUGGUAAAUGAUUACGUGAGUCAUUUUAUGGUUUUGGACACCUUGUUGAACUGAAUGAGCCAUCUGAUUUAACCUAGGGGACCACAGUUCAAUUGCAGUGUUUUUUCACCCAAGUACACUUGUUUUAAUUUGAAUUGGUUGUUUAUGUGACCUGUGCCUUCAAGGUCAACUUUUGGGAAGCCCAUGAUGGGGUAAGGGACCACAACUGAUGGUAUGAGGCACAUAGUUCAAGUCUUAUAUGCAGGGCACCCAAAAGUACCCUUGUAAUCGUUUACCAGGUCUGGUAAACUGGUAAACGAUUACACGAGUCAUUUUGGGUUUUUGGACAUCCUGUUGAACUGAAGGAGCCACCUGAUGUAACUUAGGGGACCACAGUUCAAUUGCAGUGUUUUUUCACCCAAGUGCACUUCUUUUAAUUGGAAUUGAUUGUUUAUGUGUGACCUCUGCUUUCAAGGUCAACUUUUGGGAAGCCUAUAAUGGGGUAGGGGACCACAACUGAUGGUAUGAGGCACAUAAUUCAAGUCUUAUAUGCAGGGCACCCAAAAGUACCCUUGUAAUCGUUUACUAGGCCUGGUAAACGAUUACGCGAGUCAUUUUGGGUUUUUGAACAUCCUGUUGAACUGAAGGAGCCACAUGUUGUAACUUAGGGGACCACAAUUCAAUUGUAGUGUUUUUUCACCCAAAUGCACUUGUUUUAAUUGGAAUUGGUUGUUUAUGUGUGACCUGUGCCUUCAAGGUCAACUUUUGGGAAGCCCAUGAUGGGGUAGGGGACAACUGCUGAUGGUAUGAGGCACAUAGUUCAAGUCUUAUACGUAGGGCACCCAAAAGUACCCUUGUAAUCGUUUACCAGGCUUUGGUAAACGAUUACGCGAGUCAUUUGGUGUUUUUGGACAUCCUGUUGAACUGAAUUCUGUGACCUGUGCUUUCAAGGUCAACUUUUGGGAAGCCCAUGAUGGGAUAAGGGACCACAGGUGAUGGUAUCAAGCACAUAGUUAAAGUCUUAUAUGUGGGGCAUCCAAAAAUAUCCUUGUAAUCGUUUACGAGGCUUGGUAUUAACACCCAAUUUUGUCCAGGUUAAAUAAUAUAUAUAUAUAUAUAUAUAUAUAUAUAUAUAUAUAUAUAUAUAUAUUUUUUACUUUAAUUUAUUUUAUCUUAUUUUAUGUCUUUUAAUCAUUUUUAUUUUGUUUUUAUUUCAUUUUAUAUUAUUUAGUUUUAUUUUUAUAUUAAUUUUUUAUUUUAAUUCUAUUUUUUAUUUUACUUUACUUGUUAUUUAGAAUUAUCUCACUUUAUUCUUUUUUUAGGUUAGUUUCUUUUUGUUUAGUUGUAUCUUCUUUUUAUGUUCAACGUUAACAAAAACAAAAAAAUAAAUAAAAAAAAAGGAAAAAAACGAAAGAGGUACAGCAGACUGGUUUCCUUUAUUCAAGCACGAAUUCAGCUGCAAGAUAUCAUAACAGGCAGGCUUAACAUUAGAGGCUUGUCCCUCCUGCAACAUUUACACAGUAAUGCUCAAAAUAUCUCAUACAAUGGCAGUAAAAAAGCGUCUUUGCUGCUCUUGCUAAAAAGUCUCUAUGCAAAGCUGUGUCAUACAUCAAAGGGAAAGGAAAUUUGAACGGUUUUCGCCGAUUGAUCCCAUUAACAAGGAAAAAAAGACAAAAGAAAUCCCAAGUCAGAAGGGAUACGGACUGAUCAUACAGAAGGGAAGAGGGGAUUCAGAAGCACCAUUAUCAUUCACUCACACACUACUUCUCUGACCGGUGACCACCCCAACCAGAUUUUCCCUUGCAUUCCCAAUUCUUCACCUCCAACGGAUCCAUGAUUCACCUGACCAAUCUCCAUUGCCAUCCUCCUUAAGGGAGAAGGAACACCUCACCAUCACAGCUUAGAAGAGAGCUCUCGACUCCUCUGACCUCCACCAUUAACCAAUCAUCUACUUCCAUUGCUCACUCUCAGCAUGACUUUCUUGCACCUGUAAAGUCCAACAAAAAGAAUACAAUCUCAGAAAAGGAACAAGAGACCGCAAGAAAAAAAGAAGAAGCAAAGACAACGAAACGAACUCCAGCAAGAGAGGAGAGGAAUUGAUAUUGUGGCAGUUAUUCAACAUCCACGGAAAAGAAAAACGAAGCCAGUAAAAAGAAGAGAGGAGCUAACGGUGGCAACCGGCCAAUAGUGGGUCAAGAAAUAUUGAAUGGUGAUGUAGGGAGAUUCCGAGGAAUACAAAUAACCUCUGAUUUUUUUCAGAUUUGGAGAGCAUCUGGAAUAACUAAUGAAUUACAACUCUAUUGUACUGCAAUUGGUGCAUUGGUCUUUGCAGCCUUNAUGNUUUUUGCUGGUUGGUUUCAUUAUCACAAAGCUGCUCCAAAAUUGACUUGGUUCCAAGAUGUAGAAUCUACGUUGAAUCACCAUUUGACAGGGCUCUUCAAGAAGUAAGUAUGCUUUGUUCACUUGUAUCUUCAUGUAAGCUUGCUGCAUUGUGCUUCAUAUUAUACAUGAUAUUGUUCUAUUUGGGAUUGAAUUGUUGUGAGAGUACUCUCCUUUUUCAUCCACCAAUGCAUAAUCACCCUCCCUCUUCAACCUGAGACCUCCGGCCGCAUUUCUUGCCUUUUAUUAAUAAUCUCAGCCCAAUCUUCAUCAACACAACUACUUCCAUAAUCUCAUCUUCAUACUCUACAACAUACAGAACACCCUCAUUCUCUUCAUUUUCCUAUCUCCAUUACCAAAGCCGAAAUGGCCCAACCAAACCCCCCAUCAACCUUGAUUUCUACUACAUGUCGUUUCCCUGCAAAAAAAAAACCAACCCAAACACCCUGAAUCAGUCACAACAACCACAAACCAGAUAAUCAAACCAUGCCCCCCACGCCUCGGUCCAUCUCCAAUAAUCAACAAUAAAAUUGAAUCAUUAGGAUAGAUGCUCACCAGAAAAGCACAAUAAAAAAAACAGAGUCAGUACCUUCGUCUUCACUAGAACCACUCCAUUCACGCUUAAAACCAUCAUCCUCAACCUGCACUGCAAAAAGUUACAAAAUAAGAAUCAACCACUCAACACCAGUCUCCAUUUUCAUUCAAUCUACAAAGAAACACACGCAAGGACAGAGAACCAAAUUUAUCUCCAUUCUUCUCCAUAAACCCCUGCAUCGCAACCAGUGUGUCACCUUCAUUCCCCAACUCACACAGAUUCACACAGGAACACCACAGUGUGUUCCUUUCACCUUUCGACUGCGUCAAUCGAAGCCAAUAGCCCAACACUCCCUACACCAUCGGAAAAACCCGCGCCCAGUCAAAAAGAGCUCGCGUUUCGGAGAGGAAGGAGGAUGCAGAGGUCGGCAAUGUGGUUGAACGGAGGACGCGCAGUGGCGGCGGUGUGACUGCUAGAUCCCGAUUUGAAUAUUGAAUGGAGGAGAGGAUGUCCCGGAAUGAAAAGGGCGAAUAAGGGGAGAGUUGCCUUGACGCCGGUAGGAUUCCUUGCGGUGACCGGAGCCACCGAUAACGGCCAGAGCUUGGCGGAACGUGGUCGCGCGGCGGUGUUGGCUCAGUGGAUGGCUGUGCGAUACGUAGAGGGAGAGAGAAAGUGGUGGCGCGGUGGCUGGCCGGACAGAAGCAAUAACGCCGGCGCCGCCAAGGCUGGCCGGAUGGGCGCGGUGGCUGUCAGAGGGGAGCGGCGGCAUGACGCGUUCAGGGGAGAUGACCCCAACCCUAGGCAAGUAGGUGCGGAGAGAGACUUGGAGUCUCAGAGGUGUUGGAGUGCAGAAUGGGGUGAGGAGGUUCGAACCCCUAAGGUUUCUGACCUUGGGAGAGAGGGGUGCCUAGGCCAUUGCUGGGCCACGAUAAAAAAUAACAAAAAGAUAACGGGCGUUACUCCCUGUACCUCUCCAAUUGCUGGGUCACACCCCUUUUCACUUGGGCUUAGGCCCAAUCUGCUAUCAGAAGCAAAAUUUGUCUGCACACUCCUGUUUUUUCCCUUUUCACCCCCUUCUCUUAUUUAAUUUGAUUGGUUUUUAUUUUAUUAUUUCACUAUAUACUUUAUUUUCAUCUUUAUCUUUAUUUUUUUAUUUAUCUUUUUAUUUUGUUUCUAUUUUACUUUUAUUUUUCCUUUUUUUUGUUUUAUUUUAUCUACUUUUAAAUAAAUAUUAAAAACAACAAAAAUAGUUUUAAAAGGUUAAAUCACACGUGCGAUCAUUUGUGUAGGCCUUGUGUUAAAAGUUUUUCUCCUUUUCUUUACAAAAAUAAUAAAUAUAUGUUUUAAUAGGUUAAAGCACACGUGUGACCAUUCGUGUAGGCCUUGUGCUAAAAUUCUUUCUCCUUAUUUUCACAAAAACACUAAAAAUAUGUUCAAAAGGUUAAAACACAUGUGCGACCGUUCGCGUAGGCCUUGUGCUAAAAACCUUUUCCUCUUUUUUCACCAAAAUAAUAAAAAUAUGUUUAAAAUGUUAAAGCAUACGUGCGACCGUUCGCGUAUGCCUUGUGCUAAAAACCUUUUCUCCUUUUUUUUUCACAAAAAUAAUAAAAAUACGUUUUAAAAGGUUAAAGCACACGUGCGACUGUUCGCAUAGGCCUUGUGCUAAAAGCCUUUUCCCUUUCUUUUACAAAAAUAAUAAAAAUGUUUUAAAAGGUUGAAGCACACGUACGACAAUUCGCGUAGGCCUUGUGCUAAAAAACCUUUACUGUUUCUCACACAAAAAUACCAAAAUACAAAACAUUUGUCGGGCACAAAAAAUAAAAAAAUAUAUUUUGUUUCUUUAAAGUUUUAUUUUUCGGGAUAGUUAAGCAUUUUGAAAACCACAUCGUCAUUUGCGUAUCUAAUUAAGGGUACUGCUUUAGGGUUGUAGGGUGCUAAUACCUUCCAUACACGUAACCGACUCCCGAAUCCAAAAUCUGGUUUUAGUGGACCUUAUCUUAUCUUUUUUAUGGUUUUUCCGUAGUUUUCCAGAAUAAACUAUGGUGGCGACUUCAAAAGUCAUUUUUAUCAAAAUCGUUUCUUUUUUGGGAUCGUCGUCCCGUCGCGAUACCGGUUGCGACACUUGGUAAACGAUUACGCGAGUCAUUUUUGGUUUUUGGACAUGUUGUUGAACUGAAAGAGCCACCUGUUGUAACCAAGGAGACCACAAUUCAAUUGCAAUGUUUUUUCACCCAAGUACACUUGUUUUAAUUUGAAUUGGUUGUUUAUGUGUGAUUUUCAAUUGUUUAACAUGUUCUCAAAUAUAAUACAACAAAUAAUCAACCAACAUUUAACAAAAAAAUAUAAAAUUCCCAUACUCAAUUUGAUUAAUAAAAACAGUACAAUGUUCCAUUAAUGCAUAAAUGAUUCAUACAUUCUUAAAUAUUUAUAUAUAUAUAUAUAUAUAUAUAUAUUGAAUUAACUAAGUUGAAAAGUGUAUAAAAAAUUGGUAAAACAAUGAUAAAAUUACUCUAAAAAAAAAGAAAGGAAACUCAAAUUUUUUUUAACCUUGAAGAUACGAAAAAUAAUUGCACUGAUAGAGAGAUUACGCUGUCCCACUAAAUUUUGCAUGCCUAUUUGUCAACACCCAAUUUCAUCUAUCAACACCUAAUUUCGUCUGAGUGACAAAAAUAUAUUAUUUUUAUUUUAUAUUAUGUCUUUUUAUCAAUUUUGUUUUUGUUAUAUCAUUUAAUUUUUUAUUUUUACUUAUUUUAUGUUAUUUUAUUUAUUUAUCUUUUUAUUUAUUUAUCUUUUUUUGUUUUUUAUUUUCAUAUUAGUUUUUAUAUUUUAAUUCUAUUUUUUACCUUUUAUUUUAUUUUACUUUUUAUUUUAUUUUUCUUUUUAUUUUAUUUUACUUUUUAUUUUAUUUUACUUUUUAUUUUAUUUUAUUUUACUUUUUGUCAUUUAGAUAUAUUUCGUUUUAUUUUACGUUAGUUUUUUUUAUUGUUUAGUUUUAUUUUUGUUUUUUUUUUUUACGUUAAACGUUAACAAAAAAUUCUAAGGAAAAAGAAAAUAAAAAGGGUAUCGCAGACUGUUGCUUUCUUUCCAUUCUCAGUCACGCAAUCACCAAGCACCAAUUUAGCUUCCUUACAACACAGUGCAUUCAACUCUCCUGCAACGCAAAGCACAGACAAAACAUUCAUCAAAGGGGAAUGAUAUUUUGAACAAGCUUCUUCCAGCGAUACAGUGAAAACAUGAAGAAGGAAAAGGACAAAAAAAAGAUAUCUCAAGUCAGAGGAUACGCCUGUAUGAUCCAAGAGACAGAGGGGAAUUGGCUUCAUGAGAACCUUGACCAUCAGACAGAAGAGGGGGACGGCUUCUCCAAUCACUCUGGACUCACUCAACAGAAACCCCUAGACUAUCUUUGCUCCUCUGGACUCCAACCAAUUUUUUUUUUUCUUUUCACUUCCAAGUAUUCACCUCCAAUAUUUCAUCGCCGCGAGAGCACACUAUCAAACAAGAACAAUAACAACAGAGAAAAGAUCAUCAACAAAAAGAUUCUGGACUCCCUCAUCUUUAACACGAACCAUCAUUUGCAUACACAGAAAAAAAGGCAACCUCUUUGGACCUUCAUCUUCAACCAUCAUUCAGUCUCAGUCUCUGUGAUGGCGUCCACCAUUUCAUGAGCAGAGGAAGAAAACGAGAGGCCAGCAUCUGAAAAAGAGAAAGAACUGGUUCCUAUCACGGGCUGGGGGAGGUUUUCUGAAGGUUCACUGGCCGGCAUCAACUUCACUGCUGCAAUUGCUGCAGCUGGGGACACCAAGCAACAGCAAAGCCCGGUAAGUAACUCUCUCUCUCGCUCAUAUAGUCGCUUGUAAUGUAUGCUGUAUUGUGAAUGGCUGUAUCACGAACUACGUAUUAUAUUUGCCUGUGGUUAUUGGCCUUGUGUAUGAACCCCCCUCACUCUUCAUUCUCAAUGGCCACCUUUGCCCAACAUCCACCAUCUUCAUCUUUUUUAGCCUCUGCAAUUUCCAUGGCAAACUUGCCUAAUACGCCGUCAUGCUCCAUCAACUUCUCUCCUCACCACCCUAUCCAAAUCAAUAUCCCAGCCAAACCCCUCAAACAUCACAACGUCAAUGCCUCUGCAAUCUGUAACCAAAAAAACUAAACAGAUUUCACAGCCUAAUACCAAGCCUCUGCCGCUGAGGCAAAACUCCAUCAACCUUCACUACAUCACCAAGCAAAAUUCCAGCAAGUCAUAAGCCAAGUUCUCACAAUCAUCGACCAUAACCACAACAAGAGGUAUUGCUAGUCAGAAAAUCCCUCACACAAUCCCGAUCCCAUUUAUCUGCAAAAAGGAUCCAACCCAAACCUGAGCCAAUCGCAGUAACCACGAACCAAAUCAGAUAUUGAAGCUAAGUCGCCUUUGUUCACCCCAAGCAACCGUGAAAAGAGUUAACCCCCUAACGUUGUCUCGACAAGCCUCCGUGGUCGUCUUCUCUGAUCAAUAAACGGUGGAAUCGCGUUGGCGGUAGCCUCGGUGACGGCGGUGGGCUCGACGAGGAGCGACGACUCUGGCUUGGCGGCAGCGAGCAGGCAGCAGAGGCAAACCCUUCCCUGGGUCACCGUUUUCGAAGCAGAGAGAGAGGGCGGUGAGUGCGUGAGUGGCCGGCGGUGGCUUUGGGGGGGCGUGGUGUCGCCGGUGACGCCAUGGACAGCCCCCUCGCAGCGCCCUUUUGAUCGGAGAUUGUGGCAGCAGAUGGGGCGAAUCACGGAAGGUGAGGACGUCUCCCUCUCGCGCGCGGCGAGGAACUUGAGGAAGGGGUCUGACUCCGUGGCCGGCAGCAGCUCCGGUGACGCUUACUGUCGCCGGUAACGCCUCGAACUGGCCGGAUGGGAGCUGUGGCUGGUCGGGUGGUGGCAGCGUGAGACGUUCCUAGGAGGCAAACCUAGUUUGAGAAUGAAGAGACCUUGAGUCUCUCUUUUGAGGCUGAGAGAGUGUCAAAUGAUGAAACGAGGGAGGAAGGAAACAACCCCUAAAUUCUGCUGUUGGGGGAUUCUUGGGCCAUGGGUCCUUUUCCUUUACUUUUUUUUAAAAAAAAAAUAAAUAUACUUUUCACUUUUGCACCCUUGUUUAUCAUUUAGGCACCCCAUUUUUUCUGCCGGACCAGCAAUGGGCCAAGAGAAAACAAAAAAAAAAACAAACUUUUUCCGCACACCCCUGUUUAUGCUAAAUCUCACCCCCUUUCCACUAGGGCUUUGGCCCAAUCAGUUGUCAGCACUUAAUUUGAUUUGCACCCCCUGAUUUCACUGGCACACCCCUUUUUCUUGGGCUUAGGCCCAGUUCGUUUCUAAAAGGAAAAAUAGCUUAGACAUUUUUUUUCUUAUUUAAGCACCUUUGCAAUUUUAUUUUUUCUUUACUUUGUUGUUAUUUAUUUUAUUUUAUCUUUUUACUUUUACUUUAUUUAUUUAUAUUUUAAUUCUAUUUUUAUUUUUAUUUUUUUUUAUUUUUUUAUUUUCUUUUUACUUGUCUACCUUUUAAAUAUGUGAAUAUAAAAAUAAACAAAAAUAUUUUAAAAGGUUUAAGCACAUGUGCGACUUAAAACCUUUUCCUCCUUCUUUCAAAAAUAACAAAAACAUUUUAAAAGGUUUAAGCACACAUGCGGCCAUUCGCGUCAGCCUUGUGUUAAAACCUUUUCCUCCUUCUUUCAAAAAUAUAAAAAAAUGUUUUAAAGGUUUAAGCGCGUGUGUGAUCGCACGCAUAGACCUUUUUCUUCUUUCAUAAAAAAUAUAAAAAAAAUGUUUUAAAGGUUUAAGCGCGUGUGUGAUCGCUCGCAUCGUCCUCGUCCCGAGACCUUUUCUUCUUUUAUAAAAUUAAAAAAUAUGUUUUAAAGGUUUAAGCACGUGUGUGAUCGCACGCAUCGUUCUCGUGCUAAGACCUUCUCCCCUUUCAUAAAAUUAUUUAAAAAAAUAUGUUUUAAAGGUUUAAGCACGUGUGUGAUCGCACGCAUCGUCCUCGUGCUAAGAACCUUUUCCCUUUUUUAUAAAAAUGCUAGACUAUAAAUAUUUCCAAACUUUCCAAACAAACUUCCCAAACAAUUCUCCAAACAAAUUUUCCAAAUGGUUUCAUAAAGAACUACGUAACCCUGAUUUCUCAGUCCAACUGAGAAUACGUAAGAGCAAGGUCAAUCCUUGUCGGGCACAAAAAACACAAAAAAAAUAUUUUGUUCUAUUUAGAGUUUUAUUUUUUUAGGGGAAAUUAAACAUUUCGCAAACCACAUCAAAUUCGUGUAUUUAGUUAAAGGUACUGCCUUAGGGCAGACGUUGUGGGGGUGCUAACACCUUCCCCACACGUAACCGACUCCCGAACCCAAUCUUUGGUUUUUGUGAACCGUGCUUUAUCAUUUUAUGGUUUUUCCGUAAUUUUCUAUAAUAAACUAUGGUGGCGACUCCAAAAACUCUUUUUCAAAACUUUUUAAUUAUUUCCUUUUUUGGAUCCUUGUCCCGUCGCGAUUCCGGUUGCGACACUAUCUAUUUAUUGAUUGAUAUUAUUUCUUUUCGUUAUACAUCCUUACUUGCAUGAGUAGUUAAGAAGCAAUGAAACAAAACCUUGAUCUAGCACUAGAGCUAUCACCUUGAUUCAUGAUUUAUGGGUAAGUUUUAAUUUAUUUUUGAAAAGAAAUUUCUUUAAAAAAUUCUUUCACGUGGUGGUAAAUAAUAUUUCAAUUUCCAAAAUCUCAAUCUUUUUCUCUUUUAAAUAGACUAGAAUGAAAGUUAAUAUAGAUUUUUUUUAAAAAAAAAUUAAUUAAUUUUUAAUCUAAAAUUAUAUAUUUUAUUAUAGAAUCUAAUAUAUUGUAAUAUUUAGUUUGAUUUAAUAGAGAUAAAAUAAUUUGAUUUGAUAGAGAUAAAAUAGUUUGUUUAAAUCUUAUUUUAUUAGUUUUAGGUCUAAUAAUAUUUAGUUUGAUUUGAUAGAGACAAAAUAGGGAUAGAUAAUUAUGAUUUUAGGUCUAGUAAUAUUUAGUUUCAUUUGAUAGAGAUAAAAUAGGAAUAAGUAGAGAUAAAAUAGGAAUAGGUAGUUAUGAUUUUCUGUUUAUUUAGGUAUAAUAUUAUUUUAUGAUAGAUUAAGGGGAUUUUAUUUGUAAGACUGUUAAUAUUUUAUUUCCAGAUUUUAUUUUUAUUUUUGUAAUAUUUUAAUUAUCAUUUUAUUUAAAGUCUUUCAAUAAACAAUAGACUCAAUUUUUAGAAAAAAUAUCUAAGUGUGUAUCUUGAGAUUUUCCUAACACUUCUAUCAGCAUGACAUCUUCUUCCUCCAAAUUGACUUUGAAAUUGCUUAUCGACACUAAGCGUGAAAAGGUUCUGUUCGCAGAAAUAUGAAAAUUCGUUGUAGACUUUCUCUUUAACUUGCUCUGCUUGCACAUUGCUACUACUAUAAGGAUUCUCAACAAGAAUGAAAUGGUUGGUAGCUUAGGCAAUCUCUAUCAAAGUGUUGAGAAUUUGGAUGAAACUUACAUGCAACUAGACCAACAUAAGGAUCUAGUGUUGAAACCAAGUGUCCUCAUGUCUUCACCAAUCUUUGGUCUUCUUCCUUCAGUUAAUGACAGUUCUUCCAACGACUCCACGGAUGUAUUCUACUGUGUCAAUAUCACGAUGAUUACGUCACAUGUGAUAACACCACUUGUUGUCCUACUUGUAGGUCAUCUAUGAAGUGGCAAAUGAAUUUUGUUGGUGAAAAGGUUGCAAAUGAAAUUGCUGCCUACAAGAGUGGUUUUGUGAAAGAGGUAGUAACUUACAUGGUGAUGGAUGACCUGACAAUUCAGCCCCUGUCAAGCAUUUCAAUCCCUACUUUACUUAACAAAUUCAAGGUGAAAGACCUUGGUGUCUUGUAAGAAAAGGGGGUCGAGUUGGAGGCAAGUUUUGUUUUUAAAAAAUGAAGAUAUCAUUAUCGCUCUUCAAGUUUAAAAUAUAUGAAUUUACUUAUAAUUUAAUAUGAACAAAGUAAAUUGUUUCGUGGUUCUCUUACAUAUUGCUGGAGCUUUGUUUUUUUUUAUUGACAAUAGAUCAUGGUUCAUUAAUUUCUUUUUUUCAUAGGUUAAAUAUAUCUUUUGGUCCUCAUUUUCGUGCCCAAUUCUCAACUGGGUCCUCAUGAUUUUUUUUGUCCCAAUUGAAUCCAAAUAUUUGUUAAUUUGAGGCAAUAAAGCUCUCUCCGUUAACUUUCCACUGACGUCGUUUAAAUGUGAUGAAUGAGUGUUCUUUUGUAUAAUACACCCUUCGGGGAUACCUCCAAAUCAGAAUACACCCUCCGGGAAUACCACAUUGCAGAUUUGGAAAGUCUUCCAUCCAAAGCUUCAAUAUUUCCCUCUUCCACACCUACUAGUCUAGAAAUGAAUUCACCAUUUCUUGCUUCGACGGGGUGCCCCACAGUUUCAACCAUCAUGCAAGGGUUGUUAAAACCAUUCCAAGAAUGAAGAGGCACCAAUUUACACAGCCCAUAGAGCCAAGUAACAACCUCCUUCAUGGAAGGUCUCCUCUCCCUAUAAGACCUCACACUUGGCAGCAAUCACAGCCGACUGCUUCCUCACAACCGGAUCCUUGGGAGCUGCAAUUCUAAGAUCAUAAAAAGCCAAAAGCUUCCCUUUCUUGAUGAGAGGAAUAGCCCAAUCCACGAUAGAAGGUGGUGAAUAAGUGAUGUCAAUGACCCUCCUUCCGCUUAUAAUCAGCAGCACCAAAAUCCCAAAGCUGAAAACAUCAGUUUUGGUGCUCAAAUUAUCAGGAGUUACAUAAGAAGGAUCAAGAUAGCCCAUGGUGCCUACACAGGGAGUGGACCUGAGUCUGUAGUCAUCAACACGGCCUCUCAAGGCCAAACCAAAAUCCCCCAAUCUCGCUUUGUAGCUGCGGUCGAUGAGAACGUUCGCAGACUUUAUGUCACGGUGAAUCACAGGAGGGGUCGAGGAGUGAAGCGUGUCCAUGGCUUUGGCAGUUUGCAGAGCCAAAUGAUUUUGCAGAGCUUCGUCUUGGCCCUCGAUUUUGUCGGCAGCAGAAUUUCCUCCAACGACGCCGCCGAGAAAAGCGUGGAUGGGAAUUGAGGCGAGAGCAUUGGAGUGAAGAAAUGGAUGAAGAAUGUGUCGUGAUUUCCAAAUCCCUAAUUCCCCUUUUAAUUUUACCAUGUCAUGAUCUUUUAGUUUAAAUAAAUUUUCCAUAUAAGAAUGAAUAUAAACAAGUUACUAAUGUAUGCAUCCAUAUCAUCACAAUUAGACGGCGUUAGUUUAAAAUUAAUGGAGAGACCUUUAUUGUCUCAAAUUAACAAGUAUUUGGAUGCAAUUGGGACAAAAAAAAUAUGAGGACCCAGUUGAGAAUUAGAUACAAAUAUGAGGACCAAAAGACAUAUUUAACCUUCUUCAUCUUCUAUAAGAUGUGAAUCUUCUGAAGGCUUCUCUAUAGUCGAAGACGGUUUUGACUGAUGUUUUUCUCAAGAAUCAUUCUUCGGCUUAGAGUUUCAUACAUUGUACUUAAUAUCUUAAUUUAAGUCAAUAUUUAAUGCAUGGAAUUGUGGUCUUUUUUAUGAUUCAUAGAUUCUUAAAUAUUUAUUGAAAAUGUCUUAUUUAAAUCUAAUUCAGUUUUAUAAAAUGAGUAAAUUUUUUUUAUAUAUUAUAAAAUAUUUUAAAUUUAUCUUAUUUUUUUAAUCGAUAUAAAUUUUUUCAUAUAUAUAUAUAUAUAUAUAUAUAUAUAUAUAUAUAUAUAUAUAUAUAUAUAUAUAUAUAUAUAUAUNNNNNNNNNNNNNNNNNNNNNNNNNNNNNNNNNNNNNNNNNNNNNNNNNNNNNNNNNNNNNNNNNNNNNNNNNNNNNNNNNNNNNNNNNNNNNNNNNNNNNNNNNNNNNNNNNNNNNNNNNNNNNNNNNNNNNNNNNNNNNNNNNNNNNNNNNNNNNNNNNNNNNNNNNNNNNNNNNNNNNNNNNNNNNNNNNNNNNNNNNNNNNNNNNNNNNNNNNNNNNNNNNNNNNNNNNNNNNNNNNNNNNNNNNNNNNNNNNNNNNNNNNNNNNNNNNNNNNNNNNNNNNNNNNNNNNNNNNNNNNNNNNNNNNNNNNNNNNNNNAUAUAUAUAUAUAUAUAUAUAUAUAUAUAUAUAUAUAUAUAUAUAUAUAUUAUAGUUUGAAAUGAUAUAUGAAAAAUUUUAUAUCGAUUAAAAAAAAUAAGAUAAAUUUAAAAUAUUUUGAAAUAUAUAAAAAAAAAUUAAACUCAUUUUAUAAAACUGAAUUAGAUUUAAAUAAGACAUUUACAAUAAAUAUUUAAGAAUAUGUGAAUAAUAAAAAAUACCACAAUUUCAUGCAUUGAAUAUUGACUUAAAAUAAGAUAUUAAGUACAAUAUAUGAAACCCUAAGCCGAAAAAUGAUUCUUGAGAAAAACGUCAGUCAAAACCGUCUUCGAUUGCAGAGAAGCCUUCAAAAGAUUCACAUCCUAUAGAAUAUGAAGAAAAGAAAUUAAUGAACCAUGAUCUACUGUGAGUAAAAAAAAAAAAACUCCAGCAAUAUAUAAGAGAUCCACGAAACAAUUUACUUUGUGCAUAUUAAAUUAGAAGUAAAUUCAUAUAUUUUAAACCUGAAAAGCGAUAAUGAUAUCUUCAUAUUUCAAAAACAAAACUUGCCUCCAACUCGACCGCCUUUUCCUGCAAGACGUUAAGCUCUUUCACGUUGAAUUUGUUAAGUAAAGUAGGGAUUGAAAUGCUUGACAGGGGCUGAAUUGUCAGAUCAUCCAUCAACAUGUAAGUUACUUCCUCUUUCACAAAACCACUCUUGUAGGAAAAAAUUUCAUUUGCAACCUUCUCACCAACAAAAUUCAUUUGUCACUUCAUAGAUGACCUACAAGUAGGACAACAAGUGGUGUUAUCACAUAUGACGUAAUCAUCGUGAUAUCAGCACAGCUAGAAUACAUCUGUGGAGUCGUUGGAAGAACUGUCAUUAACUGAAGGAAGAAGACCAGAGAUUGGUGAAGACAUGAGGGCACUUGGCUUCAACACUAGAUCCUUAUGUUGGUCUGGUUGCAUGUAAGUUUCAUCCAAAUUCUCAACACUUUGAUAGAGAUUGCCUAAGCUACCAACCAUUUCAUUUUUGUUGAGAAUCCUUAUAACAGUAGGGAUGGACAAGCAGAGCAAGUUAAAGAGAAAGUCUAUAAUAGAUUUUGAUGUUUAUGCGAACAAAACCUUCUCACGCUUAACUUCGAUAAGCAAUUUCAAAGUCAAUUUGGAGGAAGAAGAUGUCAUGCUGAUAGAAGUGUUAGGAAAAUCUCAAGAUACACACUCAGAUAUUUUUGAGUCUACUGUCUAUAGACAACUGAAAGACUUUAAAUACAAAUGAUAAUUAAAAUAUUACGAAAAUAAAAAUAAAAUCUGAAAAUAAAAUAUUAACGGUGUUACAAAUAAAAUCUCCUUAAUCUAUCAUAAAAUAAUAUUCUAGAUAUACAGAAAAUCAUAAUUACCUAUUCCUAUUUUAUCUCUAUCAAAUCAAACUAAAUAUUACUAAAGUCUAGACCUAAAAUCAUAAUAACCUAUCCCUAUCUUAUAUGUAUCAAUCAAACUAAAUAUUAUUAGACCUAAAACUAAUAAAAUAAGAUUUAAACAAACUAUUUUAUCUCUAUUAAAUCAAAUUAUUUUAUCUCUAUUAAAUCAAACUAAAUAUUACAUUAUAUUAGACUCUAUAAUAAAAUAUAUAAAAUUUUAGGUUAAAAAUUAAUUAAAUUUUUUUAAUAAAAAAAUCUAUAUUAACGUUUAUUCUAGUCUAUUUAAAAGAGAAAAAAGAUUGACAUUUUGAAAAUUGAAAUAUUAUUUACCAUCACGUGAAAGAAUUUUUUAAAAAAAUUUCUUUUCAAAAAUAAAAUUAAAACUUACCCAUAAAUCAUGAAUAAAGGUUAUAACCCUGGUUUUGAAUUAAGGUUUUGUUUCAUUACUUCUUAACUACUCAUGCAAAGUGAAGAUAUAUAACGAAGAGAAAUAAUAUCAAUAAAUAAAUAGGCAUGCGAUAUUUAUCGGACGGUGCAAUUAUUUUUCGUGUCUUCGAGGUUAGAAAAAGAUUUGAGUUUCCUUUUUUUUUUUUAGAAUAUUUUUAUCAUUGUCUUUUACCGAUUAAAAUUAAAACUUUAGUCAAUAUUUUAUUUUAUGUAAUAUAUCGUAAUACAAUUAAAUUAUUCAAAUAUAACAGUAUUGCCAUAACACAUUAAAUUAUAAUUGUAGAACAAAAUCAUAAAAUAUUGACGGUUGUUUUUUUAAAUUACUAGCUGCAUCACCUAUUUUUGAGAAAAAAGAAGGCAUUGAGAAAAAGUCCAAUAUCCAAUGAAAUUAAUGCAAUUGAAAAUCAGUCUUGUUAUCAUGCUAGCACCACCCAUAGAAAUGUAAUUAAAAUUCACCCUUUUUUUACUUAUUCACUGUUUUUGUGAAUGAAAUUUUAAUUAAAAUAAAAUUUAAGUUUAAUUAAAAAUUAAAGGUAUUUUUUAUACACUUUUCAACUUCUUAGUUAAUUCAAUAUAUAUUUAAGAAUGUAUGGAUCAUAAAUGUAACAUCAUUAAAACUAUAAUUUUCUUUGAUGUAUUUUUAGUAACUUGUUAUAGACACUUUUUAUUAAUAAAUGGUUAGAUAAUUAUAAUCGUGUUAGAAUAAGUCACAACCAACCAGUACAAAAUUCACUGUUGUUGUUAUUAAAAAGGAAAAUGAUAUUUUAACACCAUUUUUUUACGCUGCACACAUGUCAAAAUGUGAUUGAACGAUUUCAAAUUAAAAAAAUUGAGGCAAAGGUAUAUUUGGAAGAGAAAAACCAAAGUUUGUUUUUUUAAUUUAAAAUCGUCUUGUCUCAACUUUUUUUAAUUUGAAAUCGUUCAAUCACAUUUUGACACGUGUGCAGGGUCAAAAUAGUGUCAAAAAAUGGUGUUAAAAUAUCAUUUUCCUAUUAAAAAUUACAUAAACAAGAAGCUACAAGGACAAAAGUUUUUCAUUAAGAUUAAAACUCUCUUGCACACCGUGUUCGUCUUGAAAGAUUUUACUAUUCAUUAUCAUUUUGCACAAUGAUUCGUGAUUUUAUUUGUGUUCGUUUUAAGGUAUUUAUUUAAAAGAAAAAAAAAAUGAUUUGCAGAAUUGAUGGUUAAUUCCAUCUUUGUUAUCCUGGAGAGAUUUUAAAGAAUUAGAUAAUGUUUUUCCUAAAAAAGCAAUUUUGAUCCUGUAAAUUUAUACAUUCUUCUAAUAGUUAUCUUGAAAAAUGCAUACAGCAUAAUAUGAUGGAUUCCAAUAAAGAAAAUCACUUCAACUAAACUUGAAAAUUUCAUUCUUAUUAAUUUUAUUAAUAAUAAUAUAAUAAAAUAGUAAUAUUAAUAAUAAUAAUAUUAUUAAAUAAUAAUGAUAAUAAUAUACUUACAUAGCCCUCUGCUUCUUCUCUGUUUUUUAGCCAAGACGAUAAAAUUAUAUUUCAUAGAAUUUUUUUUUCAGAUUAUCAGUACAAUUUAAUCUUUUAAUUUUGUAUUUAAGUUCAAUAAUUUUUUACAGAAAUAUUAAAGUUAGUUUUAUUCAGAAGAUUUAUUAUUUCUUUAUGAAAAAUUGAAAUUGAAAUUAAAAUUACAAAAAAAAGGUAAAUUUUUAUUUAAAUAUAUUGUAUUAAACUUAGUUAUUUUUUAAAAUAUAUUAUAUUAAUUAUUUAGUUAUUUUAGUACAACUAUUUCAAAUAAUUUUUGUCAUAAAAUAUAUUACUUUUAAAUAUUAUUUUAUAUUAUUUUUACCACUAAAAGUUAUUCAAAGAUAUUAAAGUAGAUAACAUAAUUUUAUCAAAUGAGUUCGUUUUAAAACUUGUGAUGGAGAAACUAUUGUCAUCCUAAAUAACUACACGCAAUAGGUGAAAUUUUUAUAUGCAAAAUAAAAUAUGGUAGAACACUGGUUCCAAAAAAGUAUGAAAACAAACUAGGUCACAAAAGAAAAAAAACAAUUUUCAAAAUUCUUCUUUCAAUGGAUAUAGUUAACCAACUUAAGAAGGAAAAUUGCUUGUAUAUGAAAAUUCAUACCAUCAUGCACUAAGUACAGACACAAAAAUGAUCAACGCGACAAUUCUUAUUUCUAGAAAGGGAAAGUUUCUUCUAAAACUCAUGUACAGAUGAGAAAAGUUGAGCAUUUAAAUUCAACAAAAUUGCAAGACAAAAUGUAAUGUUUUUGUAGAAAAAAAAUGUGAUCAAUGUCUCUUUAUAUUUAAUAUUUAUGAAAUUAUCACUUAAUCGAAUUAUUAUGCUUACCGACUCGAAUACUAAUAUUUUUAUGUUUUUCUGUGUGGGUUCAAAAUACAUUCAUGAUAUUUUUUAAUAACACAUUAAAAAAGAAAUUUAAUAUACUAACAUACGGAGGACAGCACUAAAAAAAAUAUUAAUUCUAGAUUGUAAUUUUUCAGACGUUUAUAAAGAUUAAAUAAUAAUUAUGUAACAUAUAUGAAUUUUUUUACAUUCAUUUAAACUACUUUUUUUAUUUUUUAUUACUUUUUAUUCAUUACUCUAAAUUAUUUUAUAAAAGAUAUCAAUGGACGCGAAAAUAAAAAUUGAUAACUAUGUAUGAACAAUAUUAAUUUGUUUUCUAAGAAAAAUGAAUUUUUAACAAUUUUUUUAUAAUUACUUGUAUGUUAGGUUCUGAUUAUUCUAUUUUAAAUAUAUAAAUUAAUAAAAUAAUAACAUAUAAUUUAUUGUAAAAAUAUUAUGUACUUCUCAGGAGACGACGUAAAUGGUAAAAAAAAUAUUAAAAAAUUAUUAACAAAUUUUGUAGAAUUGAGUAAAUGAAUUGCAAAUAUAAUAUUUUUAUGACAUAAAAUUAUGAAAAUUACAUAAACACAAUGUUGCCAUGAACUUCCACACCGAAAUGUAAAAUAAUAGAAACAAUGGUGCCUUUGUCUUCUCUCACGGCGAUGGUUCGAUGACUCUUUUUCUUCUGUGGUGUCAUGGAGGAACAACCUCCAGAGGCUUUUUCUUUUUCCUGGAGCAGCACGCGACGGCGCAGGUGGUGGCGCAACCUUCUGCUUUUCGUUCCGAAGUGGUGGAGUUGGAAAGAAGUUUCGAUGGCAUAGGCGUCGCGCUUUUCCUUUUUGCGCAGCAUUGGCGGUUUCGGUGUUGCUGUUCUGGUUUUCCUGCAGGUCUGGGUAGGCAUGAGCUUCUUCUUCCUCCAACAUUACGUCCAACACGCAACCAGUACAUUAAAUACACAUUAAAUCAGUCAAGUUAAGUUUAACCAACAAUGUUUUUUACAGACCUUAACUUGAUGAUAGUUUGGGAUUUGAAUCAAGGUUUCUUUCAUUGUUUGUUGAUUAUCACAACACAAUAAAAAUAUUAGUAUUGUAAAUCAAAAUUAUAAUAUAUUGAGGGUUAUUUUCUUUAAAUUACUCGUUGUAUCACCUAUUUUCGAGAAAAAAAAAGUCAAAUAAAAUAAAGCAUCAUAUAUCAAAUUAGGACUUGAUGCAAUUAAAAAUUGUUCUUGUUAUGAUGCUAACACCACCCACAUAAAUAUAAUUAAAAUCUUAAGAAUCUAUAUUGAAUAUACUGUUUCAUCAAUGGUUACACAACUCAGACCAACCACUAAUAUAUCUAUAUAAAUAUAUAUAAACACACAAGAUGUAUAUGUGGGCCAUGCAUGCAGUUUCAAAUUACUCUGUGGAAAACUGACUAAGCAUGAUUAUUGAGAAACCUUGAGAAUAUUUAUACCCUAUAUAAGAAAAAAAUUAAUAAGCCAUGAUGAUUAUUAAUAAAACCAAUAAAUCAAAAGAACUUCAACAUAAAAUUAAUAAGCUCUUUACUUUGUGCUUAUUAAAUUAGAAGCAAAGAGCAAAAAUGAUAUCUUCAUAUUUUAAAAACAAAACAUACCUGGUUGAUGUUCAACUCGACCACCUUUUCCUACAAGAAGCCAACCUCUUUCAUGUUGAAUUUGUUAAGUAGGGUAAGACUUGAUAGGUUUGAGAUGGGCUGAAUUAUUAGAUUAUCCAUCACCAUGUAAGUUAUUAUCUCUUUCACAAAAUCACUCUUGUCGGCAGAAAUCUCAUUUGCGACCUUUUCAUCAACAAAAGUCAAUUCCAAAUUCAUAGGUUCACUACAAUCAGGACAACAAGUGUUGUUAUCACAUGUGACGUAGUCAUGGUCAUCCGAGCACUUGUAGAAGAAUAGAAGAACACAUUGGUGGAGUUUGUGGACGAACUCCACAAAUGUUAUUCGGUGAGAGCGCGUAUGGUGGAAUAGAAUGAAAAUGAGGAACUGAGAGAAUGGUUUUAACUUGAGCAGAGUAUCUAAAGAGUUAUAUGCAUCUGCUCUUGGUGGGAUUAUAUUGUCUAUUGGAACAAGACUACCAGUAGAUGAUUUUGCUCUUGCAAUUAGGAAGUAAGAAUUUCAUUAUUACCUUUUUUGUUUGCUGCUUAAGAUUGCAACACGUAAAGUCAUGGAGCUGCUGCUUCCAAUGUUCAUUAUCUUCAAUUUUGCUACAGACCUUUGCCACUUACCGUUGGGUUAAUUACACAAUAUAUACUUAAGCCUGUUCUUGGGGUCUUCGUUGCGAAGGCUUUUGGUUCGUCUAGGAUGUUUUAUGCAGGUUUUGUCAUCACAGCUUGUGUUUCUGGGGCUCAGCUAUCCAGUAUGCAAACUUUUUAAGCAAAGGGGAUGUAGUCCUGGGCAUUCUUCUCGCAAGCUAUACCACAAUUGCAUCAGUUGUUGUUACACAACUGUUAACUGGUCUUCUGAUUGGUUCAGUGAUGCCAGUUGAUGCAGUUGCCAUGUCAAAGCCAAUUUUGCAGUUGGUUCAGUGAGUGCUUCUGUGAUAUUAUACUUGAAUUUGGUUUAAUGACUGGUUUACUUGUAAAUAUUUGAAAGGUUGUUCUUGUUCCGGUGCCCUCUUCUGUGACUAGUUGAUAUUUUAGGACCUAGCUAUCCGAGCUUCUCUUAUUGACAAAUAGAUGAUGUGAUGAAAAUUGAAAUUCACAAAGCAUUAAAACUGUUAUUGUGAAAUUGACAUUUAUGACAUGUUUGGAUCCUAGCUAGAAGUGUUUUUAAGAGUUUAUUUAUUAAAAUAUAGAAUUUUUUGUAACAAAGAAGCUUUCAAAAGUUCAUAUAAUUUUGGAUUCAAACAAGCGUGUAUAUGUUUUAAUGAAGUGCUUUAAAGUUAAAUUUAUGGAGAAAAUAUAAUCUGCUUGGUUGUAUACAUCUAUUGCUCUAUUGUUGUUUUUUUUAAAAAAAAAAAAAAGAAUUUAACAAUUUUUUUUUGAUAAAAUAUAUGUUACAUGAUAUGAUAUUUGUAAUUGAUCCAUUUCAAAUAUUUCUUUUAAAAUAAAUUAAUAAAUUAAUGAGACAUGUACUUUUAUAAAAAACUUAUUCAAAAUAACUGUUAAAAUAUCUUUAAAUUCAACGGUAGUGUUUCAGCAUUUUCAUUAGUUAUGAGAGAUCUGAAAUAAAAUAGUAAAAGCAAUAAAAUUAUAUUUUUAUUAUAUUUACCCAAUCUCAAGGUGGGGACAACAUCAAUUAUAUUUUUAUUCGAUUUUGACGUGUUUUUCUUAGUGUAAAAAAUCUUAAAAAUAAUGAAUUUAUAUAUUUUAGGAAAUCUUUGAGUGAUGUAUUAUGUGUUCUAUAUCAAAAUUAAACAAAUCUCAGUAGAGUAUGAAAGUAUUAUUUGAAUUUGACAAAAUUUAUAAUGACAACAAAUAAUGUUUUUUUUGAAAAAAUAUAUUGUUAUUAAAAUCUCUUUAUACCUAAUACAUCUUAUCAAUCGUAUUUUGAUGACUCGUGAUAUGUGUCAUGUUACUUAGUACAUAGUCAACUUUGUAUGUUUUUUACGUUCUUAGUUCAAAAUACAUUCAUGAAAAUCAAUUUUGAUGUUUCAAUAACAUGAGAAAUACGGAUGACAGCACUAAACAAAAAAAAAAAACUGGUUAAAGAUUAAAAUAAAUGUAAUGUAAAGAAGAUCUAAAUGGACGCGAAAAUAAAAAUUGAUACCAUGAAAACAAUAUUUUCCUCGCAUUUUGUAAGACUGAGUAAAUAAAUUUUAACAUAAUGUUUUGAUAACAUAAAAUUACGAAAAGCACAUAAACAUAGUGUUGCCAAAAACUUCCAACCCAAAAUGUAAAACAAUGAAAACUGAUUUUUUAAGGAAUGAUGUGCGGUUCUUGAUAAAAACACUUGUAAACACCAUCUUAGACUCCGGAAAAGCCUUCAGCAGAUCCCAACCCUGUUUCAAACAGCCAAACAAAAAAAUAAAAUAAAAAAACAUGAAGAAGAAAACUAAACUUUUCAAAAUAUACCUAACCAAUUUAUAAUAUAAAAUCAAUAAUCAAAACUGAAAGAACGUUAUGAAAUUUGCAUGUGAUAAAACAAUCCAUAUGGGCUUUGUUAAAUAUGUGAAACCAACGUCUCUUAUAAAAAAAACUCAUAUUCAUAAUUCUUAACAUAUUAAAUACUCAUAAAGCAGUCAAUUUAAGCUUAACCAACACUGUUUUUACAGAUGUUAACAUGUAAAAUUAAGUUAUAAAAUUAAAGUUCAUUUUAUGAUAUUUUCAAUACAUAUUUAACAAUCUAUACAACAUAAAUAAGAACACAAUUCCAUGCAUUGGUUAUUAGCUUAAAAAGAGAUAUUACUUUGUGUGGCCUAUGACGAAGAAUGAUUCUUGAGAAAAACAUCUGUCAAAACUGUCUUCAACUGCAGAGAAGCUUUUAGAAGAUUCACACCCUAUAAUAUAAAGAAAAAUAAAAUUAAUGAACCAUGAUGCAUUAUUAGUUAACAAAAAAAUAACUCCAACAUAUGUGUAAGAGAUUCCCAAAACCCUUUACUUUGUGCAUAUUAAAUUAGAAGUAAAUUAAGAUAUUUUAAACCUAAAAGAAAAAGA
RNAcentral lists this long non-coding RNA (86856 nucleotides) under Vigna radiata. RNAcentral describes it as "long non-coding RNA (VRAD_LNC009410)". The stretch from base 2 to 196 matches the Rfam family "U2 spliceosomal RNA". The record is from RNAcentral. Lineage: Eukaryota; Viridiplantae; Streptophyta; Magnoliopsida; Fabales; Fabaceae.